RNAcentral lists this long non-coding RNA (57491 nucleotides) under Sorghum bicolor (sorghum). RNAcentral's name for it is "long non-coding RNA (SBIC_LNC017782)". The stretch from base 4067 to 4173 matches the Rfam family "Plant small nucleolar RNA R71". Lineage: Eukaryota; Viridiplantae; Streptophyta; Magnoliopsida; Poales; Poaceae. The record is from RNAcentral.
UGAGUUAGAGUAAACUGUCAAGACUUAAAAUUUACUUACUUUACCUUCACCAUGGGACUUGUAACUGUCACUUCUAUCUUGAGUGGUUAAAAGAUAGAACAGUCUAGCCAAGUGCCAUGUCUCUUAUUCUUGAUCAGCUAUAGCUCUGGGGUUUUUUGCAGAUUUUCAAAUAAAACUCAGAAAUUCCUUGUAUGAUUCUCUCAGGUAUUUUGUGGUAUUUUUAGAUCCUUACCAAGGCAUUGAUGGUAUAUGCCUUCUCUCAAGAUAUGUAGUAUUUGUGGUAUGAGGCAUAGUGACAUUACCUUCUCUCUCACCCUACUCUAAUAAGGCUUUAAUAUCUGGAGCUCAUAGGUGGGAGAUAAAGUAUACAUACUUACAAGACAUUUAUUGCAUAGUCAAACCAUGGAUCCAAAGAAACAAAUCAAUAAGCCAAAUCAAGAUGUGCAUGUGUGGUGAAUGAAUGGUGUAUGGUGAUGAUGGUGAUAACAAUGGUGAAAACAAUGGUGGUGGAAGUCUAAUUCUACUUUUGCUCUUUUGAGGGGAUACAUACCUUCCUUGCUUUUGAAACUUUAUGUGGAGAAUGAGAUGCUCUUCUUCUUCUUUCUUUUUUUUUUCUUUUGUCUCUCAGGUGGGUAUCUUGCACCCCUAAUUCUACUGUCGGACACUUGUCCAUUUUUACCUCUCGUCCCACUUUUUCUUUUCUUUCGAGGUUCCGAGCACUUGCUCCUUUUUAUUUCCUCGUAUAUAUAUAUAUAUUUUUAGAGAACUCAUCUCUUGAGAUAAUAUAGCAAGUGGUAGUAACAAGAUAACUUGAGCAUUUAUUUCACAAGGGGAAAAUAGAAAUAUUUUUGGUUAUUCUCUCCCGAAUUAGGAGUAGAAUAUUUUUAGGUGAUUCUGGAGAUAGAAAUGGAUGGAUAUAUGUGGAUGGUACUUCUGGAGUAGAAGUAGCAUAUAUAUGAGUGAACGUGCAAGUGAAUCUUGAUUUAACCACAUGACAAGCUCCUAAGGGUCUACACAGCUUGACCACACUCAAUGCUCAUAAGCAGUAAAUAUUAAAUGUGUGACUCAAAGUCUAGCAAGCAUGUAUAUAUGGCUGUGGUAGGAAUUUAAACUCUCAUCAUAUAGGAACUCAUCAUGCAAUAUUUUAAAGAUUUUCAAAGAUAAAAUUCUCCAGAAUUCUAGCAUCUCUAGGAACAGAUAAACAGCAGCUCAACCUUCCCAUAUCGUAUCCGUUAACAACUUAGACUUCAGAUCAAAUUUUCAUCCCACAAGUUUAGGUCUAGGGUAAGCUUUAAAUUAUAACAGUUAUAUCUAAACUUGAGAGAGAACUUAAAAUUUGCAAAUUAGGCAGAGCAACUAUCAUAUCCAUGCUUAAGUUUUAUUUAGAUACAGAUUAGCAUAGACACUUUAUUUAUUUAUUAAACACACUAAGCAAAAGACAUAUAUAUAUAAGCAUAAAAUCUUUAUUUGGUUUUCCAUAGUUUAAUAAUAUAAGUAUAAAGAUAGAUAGAAAACUUAUCGAGAUAAAUGGGGGUGCUCUCCCCCAAGCUGAAUUUUGACGUAAUUUCUCUUGAUGUAGCUAGCAGGUGGCAGAGGUGUAUUUGAAAGUCAGCAGCAUUCUGACAGCGAUUAGAAUGUCCUCCGUCUGCCAGUCUUCUUGAUUCUUAAAUUUCUGUGGAGCUCAAAUAGACAACAAAGCUUGUGGAACUGAUUAAGUGUUAGCAUAAAUAUCUAGCCUUUAUUAUGUUGAGACUCCUUAAUAAAUGUUACUCCCUGUUUUUAUAUUUUUGUUUUAUAAAGCAGAAAAAUAUUUAUUUUAUUUUUAUGCCACCACAGUGAAUGUACUUAUGGGUUUUAUGCCACUCGUCUACUCACAUGGGGCUUAUAGUUUUUAACAUUUUUAUUUUCUUUUUAAGAUAGUGUGAAUAUGGUUAACUAAGUAAACUAUUUGAAAUAACUGAAAGGGAAAGGGUAACUACCAAGUCUACCUCUUGGCAAAGCGUUCGGUGUUUUUAAGUCCUCCGAACGGGACUCUCCAAUUUCUUAAUCGUCCUGAGGUUCGUUGGGUGGCGUAGUCGGUACUUCCGGCAGCGCCUCCUCUUCUUGUAUAGUUAUCUUCAUUUUCCAUACCUGACUCGGUGCUUCAAUCUCCUCUGGAUAAUUCUGUUUAAAUUCAACGUCUUCUGACCUUACAACUUCUCCUUCAUAGUCUGCCCAUCCGUCCUUGAUGAUCUGCCUCCUCUGGUUGUGGUUGCGUCUCUUUCUGACCUGCUUAGAUUCUUCAACGAUAUAGUCAGGGUCAGUAAAAUAACGGCGUACCUUCUCUGAGGGGAAGUGCAUAUGGACUUCUCCGGUUCCAAUGUAGAUGAUUGCUUUAACAGUGCUGAGGAACGGUCUUCCAAGGAUGAUGGGUGGAUCGUACUCAUCUUCUCCCAUGUCAACAACUUGAAAGUCUGUGUAGACAAAGUGAUCGUCUAUUUUGACUGGGACAUCAGUUACUAUUCCUUUAACUUCUCGAAAUGUCUAAUCUGCCAUCUGGAGCUGAAUGUAUGUUGGUCUUAGUGGCAUGGUCCCGAACAAGAGCUGAUAGGUGACUGCGGCCAUUAUGUUGACGCCCGAUCCGGUGUCGCAAAUCGUCUUGUAGAAGUUAUAUCCAUUUAUGGAGCAGUAGAUGCUUGGCAUUCCUGGGUUGUCCUUCUUGGUCAAAAACGGUGACUUAAGUUGGUGAUCUUGGCCUCCAUGGGCUACAGUGACCAUCUUAGCUGACUCGGUCCACACUUGCUUGUUCCUGUUUCUCCUGUUGGUCCUCUUCCUUGAUUCACGUCUGGAUUGAUCUUGAAUUUGUGUAGUCUUGUUCUUGAAGAAAAAUGUCUCCUUCUUCCCUUUGACGUAGAAACUGAUCUUGGCAGCACUGGCGUAGAUGAUAGCUCCCGUGGUGUUCAGAAAUGGCCUCCCUAGGAUGAUAGGUGCUCUCUCAUCAUUUCCGGUCUCUACCACUACGAAGUCUGCUGGGGCAUACAAGGUACCAACUCGGACACAAGGGUUCCUCACUAUUCCUUUUGGGAAAGUUAUCGUCUGAUCUGCAAACUGCAAACACAUGGUUGUCUCUAAUAAAGGAUAUGUAAAGAAUUUCUCAUAGAGUACCCUGGGUAUAAUGUUGACACUGGAGCCAAAGUCGCAGAGUGCUUCUGGGAUAUCCACCAUGCCGAUAGAGAUCGGGAUGACGGGGCGUCCUGGAUCGCCUCUCUUGACCGAUAGAAGGUCAGUAGAGAACUCAUUGACGGGGUUACUCCAAUUACCUGCAUCAAACACGUCUACAAGAUUUGCAGAUUCUAAUCCUUCCGGUUGUGAUGGUAUACCGGGGUUAGUAGUAGGAACAACAGCAGCUAUUUGAUUUAACUGAGAUUCAAUCAUUUUAUUAAAGCUAAUUUGAUUCUUGAUGGCAGUAGAGAAAUUAUCCAUUCUAUUAUUUAUAUUUUCUAGCAUUUUAUCAUUAGAUGCCAAUUUCUUAGAUAGGUUAUCCAUUAGCUUUCCUUGAUUAGAUACUAACUCUCUCAAAGGUGGAAAAUUAUUGUUAUUGUUGUAAGAAUUGUUACCUUGAUAAUUACCUGAGUAGUUAGGCCUCUGUUGAUUCCAACCUUGAUUUUGUUGAGGAUGGUUGUAGUAGUAGUUGUUGUUGUUGUUGAUGUAGUUCACAUCCUCAAGUAUCUUAGGGCAGUGAUUGCCUGAGUGUCUAGUGUCUCCACACUCCUCACAAGUCAUGUGAGAGUCGUAGAUGUGCAUAACUUCUUUCUUGUCUCCAGCUCUAUCAUCGAGCUUCUUCAUGAGCAGGUCUAGCUUUGCAGACAGCAUGUCCACCUCUUUCAGCUGAUGCAUACCUCCACCUCUCUUGCGUGUCUGGCUCCUCUCUUCAUUCCAGCUUUGAUUGGACGCCAUCUUCUCCAUAAGAGCUGUGGCUUGUGGUAUAGUAAGUGAUAAGAAUGCUCCUCCAGCUGCAGCAUCCAUGGUCUCUCGGGCACUGUUGCUGAGCCCAUGAUAAAAUGUCUGCAUCAAUAGCCAACUCUCCAUUCCAUGAUGGGGACAUUCUAGGAUGUAGUCUUGAAAGCGCUCCCAUGCUUCUGGAACAGAUUCAUCAUUUUGUUGCUGAAAACUCGUAAUCUUCCCAUGGAGAGCAUUGGUCUUGCCCAUGGGAAAGAACUUAGCUAGGAAGUUUGUUGAGCAGAGUGCCCACGUAGUAUUCUUCUCCUUUGUAGCGUAGAACCACUGCUUCGCUCUUCCUAAUAGUGAGAAUGGGAAGAAGCGAAGUAGUAUAGCGUCUUUGGAAACUCCUGCUAAUGGUGAAUGUGUUGCAAAUCUCCAGGAAGUGUUGUAAAUGAGCACUAGCAUCUUCGUGUGCCUUCCCACAGAACUGGUUGGAUUGCACCAUGUUAAUAAGUCCAGGCUUGAGCUCAAAGUUGCCGUCGAUCUCUGCAGCAGGUCCAGUGCGGAUGUUAUCCGUAGUGGGAGCUGAGAACUCGCGGAUCGAUUUGUUCGCCAUGGCUUCGAACUCUGAAGACAAGUUCCGGUGAUCUUCUUGAUUGGAUGAAGCUUCUUGCUGAAGUGUUGAUGAUUUCUUUAGCUUGGCUCUCGUCUUCUUGAAUAAUGCUUCGGGAUUGUCAACAAAAUUUCCUAGAAGAUGUCUUCUAUUCAUACAUUCCCCUGCAUAAGAUAAAAUAGAAAAAUAUCAGGGUAAAACUGUAUGAGAGAAUAGAUAAGCUCAAUCAUAUUAGUGAUGCGAAUGAUAACUCAAAAUCCUUUAUUCCAUUCCUGAUUAGUAAUCAACCUUCCCCGGCAACGGCGCCAAAAAUGCUUGUUGGGUAUUCUUAACAUCAUUACUAAAAGUAGACUAAGUUCUAAAUCUAGCAACGGUGCCAAAAAUGCCAAAUCUAUCCCUCACACCACUUAAGCCAAGUUGUCAUCCCCAGCAUGACAUGAGAGACGCGGUAUUGAAAUAUGCAAUUGCUCUUCUAAAUAAAUAAUGAAUGGGAUCUGCAAGCGCACAGAUUAAUACCGAUGCAGCAUUUUAACCGGGAAGUAUUCCAGGUAUCGUCAUUUAUAUUUUUACCACUGGGAAGGGAUUAGCAAUUAUCAAUAUUGAUUACAGAAUAUAAUAUGAGAUUGAGCAUAUAUCAUUGCAUGUAUAAUUGAGAACAUUAUAUCUAACUCUUCAUACAGAGAUAAGUGUCACAUAAAAGAUAUAUGAAAUAAUAAUAGUGACAAAGAUAAUUAAUCUAAUCUAGCCACAUAAUAAAUAUGAUAAGCACCUCAAUUAGAUACUCUAGAAAGUCAUUAGCAUGGUAUUAGAACGAACUACAAGAAUAUUCCCUAAGUUAUUCUCAACUAUAUAGUCUAGCAUUAUCAUAGUUAGUGCAAGCAUACUUAGCAAUCAUUGCGAGACAAGACUACGCCCAUGCAUAGUGAUAUUAGCAAGGAAUAUAAGAAACAUAGCAAUCACUCCCCUGUAAUAAUGUUGCUCUGCCAGCCCAAUACACGAGAGGGGGACUAUAUAAGAAUCAAUGAAGCUGUCACUAUCACGAACCACCCCACGAUCUGGCAUAUUGGGUACAAUCGCAGAUAAAUACGGUAUAAGCACCACGCCUACACAAUAUCUAUCAUUUACCCAUGGAUCCGAUGGAUAAACGCUAUACGAUCCUAAGCAUGUAUAUAGAUCGUAUCUAACUAAGCCAAGUACAUAACUAUGAUAAACUAAGAACAAUAUAAUCUUGAAUAUAAACAAGUAGAGCAAAGUCAUAAGCAAUAUAUUGAAGUAGAACAAAGUCAUAUUCAUAAUAUUGAAGAACAAAGAUAAUUAGAAAGUAAUUAGAAGCACAAUUAGAGAAUUACCAAGAAUCCUCUUGACAGAUCCGGAAACCAAUCGAAGAUUGACUCCUUCUAGUUCUAAUCCUAUGUAGCUAUGCUAAUCUAGAUAUCUAAUUGAUGUGGUGGCUCUAAUCUUGAUCAGAGGCUUCUUCUCCCUUGAUGGAACAAUGAAUUAGGGUUGAGAGGCUCUCUCCUCCAGGGGCCAGGGGGUCUGGUUUUAUAGUCCCUCUAAGUGAAUAUGGGCCCUUGGAUCAAACCGACAUAGAUUGUAUGGUUUAGAUUCAUCCUUUAGGUCGGUGGAGAUCUCCCGCAAAGCAGAGUCCUGAUUGGACACAGGGGCAGGGCGGGCGCCCAGUAGGACAGGGCGGGCGCCCUGUCUCUGGCCCCGUUUCGCCUCCGCUUCGGUCUCGUGGCUUCUGGAGUCUUCUAGAUGUAAGAUAAUUGCGCAGCACGUUAAUAUCUUUACGUAAUCCUGACAUGUGGGCCUUUCUUCCAUAUUUCCUGAUAACCCCCUGCAGAAAUAGACAAACACCAAAACUCGUGGAAUUCUGUCAGAUAAAACCCUAAGUCUAGAUCUUGAUUUCAUUUGGAUCCUUUUCUUUAUUUAUUUGAUAAUUAAAUUUGAUACUUAAGGACCGUCAACAGGUAUGUGACAAGAUUGAGAUUGUCCCAGGAGAUUCUUCUUAUGUCAUUGCAUCGGCAGAAGCAGAUACCUAUGAGAGGACUAGCUGUAUAUUGGGAGAAGUUUGGGAGAAGGAGUUCCUCAAAGUCGCCGAUUAUGAAAUUCCACCGAUCCAAGCAGUCGGUUCUGAUGAAGGUUUUUAAUGGAUAGGUUCGCCGAUGAUGGAAAAUUGGGCCUGGGAUUCACAUCGGCCGAUGAUUUGGUAGAAGUAGAUAUAGGUAGUGGUGAUAAGCCUAGACCUACUUUCAUUAGUGCUAAGUUAAAUUCUGAGUGUAAGCAACAAUUAACUGAUUUGUUAAAGGAAUAUAAAGAUUGCUUUGCUUGGGAUUAUACUGAAAUGCCUGGUUUGGACCGAUCAAUUGUUGAACAUCGGUUGCCUAUCAAGUCUGGAUUUCGGCCACAUCAACAGCCAGCUCGCCGAUGUAAUCGUAAUAUUCUUCCUGAUAUUAAGGCCAAAAUAACCAAACUUAUUGAAGCUAAAUUUAUUCGGCGGUGUCGGUAUACCGAGUGGAUUUCCACUGUUGUUCCGGUUUACAAGAAAAAUGGGAAGCUUCGGGUCUGCAUUGAUUUCAGAAAUCUUAAUAAGGCUACAACGAUGGAUGGCUACCCAAUGCCAGUUGCCGAUCUACUAGUUGAUGCUGCGGCUGGGCAUCGGAUCAUCAGCUUUAUGGAUGGCAAUAUAGGAAACAAUCAGAUAUUUAAGGCUGAAGAGGAUAUUCCAAAGACUGCAUUUAGAUGUCCUGGUCAUGUUGGGUUGUUUGAAUGGAUAGUCAUGACCUUUGGCUUGAAAAAUGCUGGUGCUACUUAUCAGAGGGCUAUGAAUUUUAUAUUUCAUGAGUUCAUCGGCAAGCUGGUGGAAAUUUAUAUUGAUGAUGUGGUAGUUAAGAGUAAAGAUCCUUUCUUCUCAAUCCUAUCACUUGGAGUUUUUGUAUAUUUUUGAAAGAAAGUUAGCAUACCUUUUAUCCUCAUAGGUUCUCUCAGAUCACUCAUUAUCUUUUAUAUAUCUCACUGAGGUUGUUUUAAUUUGCAAAAAUUCUCAAGCAUACUUACUUUGUAUUUAUUGCCUGAUCGAAAUGGGAUCCGAGGAGGGGAAUGUCAUACUCUUAGAUCAAAGACUUCGGAAAUUAAAAUCUUUGUCAACUCUUGCUGGCAUAUUGCUUAUUAGAGGGACCAUGGGCUAUCAUUUUCUUUCUCUCUCUUUUUUUUAAGUGGAUACCGAGGUACCCCUAAUUCUAGUGCCGGACACUUGUCAAUUUUUUUCUGCGAGGUUGUCGAGCACUUGCUCCUUUUUAUUUCCUCGAAAUAUCUUUAUUUUUGCAUAGCCCAUGCCUCUAAUGCAAUAAUACUUCGGAAAAGUGAAUCUUUCUAAAUAAAUGUCUUGAUCUUAGGAGCAUGAUAAAUCUCUCAACAAGGGUCUAACUCAUUUUGAACAAACAUAAUACAGAGUAGAUAGCUUUUAUAAUCAUAAUUAAUAUUUUUAGCUUUAUCAGGCAUAUAAAACACUGAGGAUGCUAGCUAGAAUAAAUUUUGAAAUAAAUUCUCCAAGCAAUAACGAUAUCAAGAAUAAGAAACUCAUACUCUACCAUCUCACAUUUCAUACUGUCUUAAGUAACACAGGUUUUUUUUAAAAAAAUGAUUUUAUAAUAGUUACAAGUUUCAGGAAAUAUCACAGAAUGAGAUUAAUCAUGAUUAGAAAUAUUUUAAUCUUUUUAAUUUAUCAUGUUGGAAACAGUAUUCUGCAUAAUCCAAGAUAUGUGUAUGUGUAAAGUAUGCAGAGUGUGUACCUGAAUCAUGGAGUGGUGUAGUCGAAGUGUGUUUGGCGCGUCGAGGGAUCUCCCCCAUACUUGUUUUCUGCUUUAUUGCACAAAAAUAAAGUAGACACACACAAGACAUAAUAAUAAUAAUACUCUUUAUUAACCUUGAGGCAUUUAUUACAAAAGACUAGUAGUAAACUGAUAGUAAACUAAUGAUAAUAGUAAACCUAAACCGAAUUUAAAGAUAGAUAACUAAGAUGCAUUUGCCUUAAGGUCUAAUCUAAAUAACUUAGCGGCGCUCUAAUACCUUAAUCUUCUUGUUGGCACUGGCAAGAUCAUGCCAAAGGCCUAGUAUAACAGUGUUGUGGUUAGAGAGCUGCCUAGUGAGGGAAUUAAUCGAGGACUAGAGGUCUAUGAUAACUCUGUCUAGUCUGCGAACGUCCUCAUCAAUAUCCAUUAUAGUUUUACGACGCUUGGGAGGUGUCUCAAAAGCAUUGAGAGCGUGCAUCGGGGCUGCCUUUGGAGGGAUGAAACAGACUUUGGCUGCUCUAAUCCCUUCGAAGUAAGGCCUUUCCUCCUCCGUAGUGUAGCGAAUACUGCUGAUCUCGCCGCUCCGGUUGGUCUUGACUCCAACAACCCUCUCAUUGGGUCUAGGUGGAAGGAUCCUUGUGCCGGUUGGCACCUUGAUGGUGGUCUUCGUCUUGGAUGAUGAUCCCUUGAGGAGUAGGGGUUGUGGCGGUGCGGUGAGAACUGGUUGAGCAUGGUAGGAUUGGGCGGAGCUGCGUUGGCGUAAUGGCAUGUCGCUCUGUGUUGGCCAGGACGAGAGCACGGGCAUCGGGGUCUUCCACAGGCUCCAUGUUGAGGUUGAAGGGGACGACUUCCCAAUCAUCAUGGAACUUCUCGGCCAUUGGAGCAGCAAGGAACUAAUCAAGCUCUAGUUGAAGAAGAAGAGAAGGCUUGGUGGUUUGGUGUUUGAAAACUGAUGUCAGGGGUCUGUUUAUAUAGGGGUCAAAAAGUGCCUCUAGGGGUUGUUCGGGUUGCUCCCGUCGAUGUGCGUGCGAAACAUUCCAUCUGAGGGAUUAUUUGGAUUACCAUAAGUGCAUUUUCCAUAACAGAGAAAAUCGGGACCGAGGGGGAACAGGAGCUGGGCGCCCGCCCUCUCUCUAGUCCCUCUGUGGACCCACUUUCUCAAGCGCGUUUCUAGAUGCAAAACUAUUUAGAAAAAUAUAUAUAUGACCCAAAAACAUCAGACUAAAAAAAGUCGGGCUCUAAUUCUCCAUGGGAAGGUAAAAAUGGACUACGUCUAUUUUUUCUAAUUCUUUAUUGGGCUCUAAAAAUAAUUUAAGACGUUGAUGUCACACCCAUAUUUUAAGAACAAAAUAGGAUGCAUAAAAGACUCAUAUGUGCCCCAGAAACAGUCGCACACAUAAAUAGACAAAUCUCAAAUGUACCAUCGCAGUGUUUAUUACAUAGCGGAAUUUAAAAUAUCACAUAGUCUCAUACAAAAAUGAUAGCAUAAAGUAAACAACGCUCUCGACGGAAGCUCCACACAGGGACACUGUUGACUGGUUGACUCUAAACCUAGUACUCAUAACGGUAAUCCUCAUUCCAGUCAUCUUCAUUAUCAUAUCCUGAGGUGUUGGGAAAUUACAAGAGUGAGCACAUAUCGUACUCAACAAGUAUAACCAGGGGUUCAUAAGGCUCAAAUAGCUGACACUGGUUUGACUGCAUUUAGCUUUUAAUAGUGGAUAGCAUAUUCACAAUUAAGUAGCAAUGGUCAAGGUAGCAUAAAUAAUCCAUUAAUCCCAUCAUCAAGUGUAAGCAUAAUUAAUUCUUAGCAUAAACGAUAAUCAAAUGAACAUAACAACUUAAUAAGCUCAUCGUCGGCGCAGCAAGAACCACCAAGGCCGCUCAUAACCGUGAGCACGGCUAGUAUACCAGUUUUACACUCCACAGAGGUUGUACAUCUUUACCCAUGAGUCAUGAUUUACCCUUUCGCCCGAGGCCCGUCGACCUCUUAACCCACUACCAAGGAAGGUCGGCAGGGAUCACUAUGAAGCCUUUCAAAAGUUCAUCUAACAUGUUAGGGCCGCAAGGUUUCCUUUGCGAGCAGAUAUAGAUACCCCCCUUCCGAACGGCACAAUGACGCGCAGCCUAUACACAUAGGGACAGGGGCUCGCACUAUACCCGUGUCGGUUCAGCCCCUCCGCCCUUUCGGGUAACCUCUAACAAGCUAGAAAAAGGUCUCCAUACUGAGCUAAAGCCAGAGCCAUUAUAGCCCUCAUGGUUGCACUGUUGUCCCGGUGAUCACUUACCGACAAGAUCUCAUAUAGUUUUUUGUCAUCUUUUAACGUUCAUUCAAUAGCUAUUAAUCAUCUUACAAGAUCAUGGAUUAUAGCAAGCACUAGUACAUCUACAGCAAAUGCAUAUCAAGUAGGUAGCAAGGAAUCCAGGUAACAAUUAUCUAUGAUUUUGCUAAGGUCGACAAGGUGAAAGCAUGCAUAUGAUAUAUAUGUGUAUUUAAGUGAAUAGGUAACAAGGAUGAUCCCAAGUUAUACUUGCCUUGAUCAAAGCUCUCCUGGGCCUGCUGCUGGUCGUCAAAAGAUUGACCUUGAUCACCAACGUAUCGCUCACCGUCUAUUCCCAAACAUCAAUCAACAACACGUAAUCCAAUAGAGACAAUCAUACACAAAGCAAACGAGAUAUAAUUACAACAUUACACCAAACAGUAGUAAAAUAAAGAUAAAAGUUUAUGAAAAUAUUCUACGCAGGGCUACGAUCACACAAAUGUAAAGUCCACGAAAAUCGGAAUUAAAACGUGAAAGAUAUGAAUUUUCUAAGAUUUCCUAUAGAGAAAUAAUUAAUUAAAUGCUACUGCGAAAAUAAAAAGUUUCAAAACAUUAAACAAAUAUUUCUAACAUGUAGAGCAUAUAAUUACGAAUCUAACGCAAUUUGAAUGGACAAAAACGGAGUUAAAAUGAAUAUUUUAUGACCAAUUCAAUUCCAAUGGCAAAACUGUAAAUAUCUGAUUGCGCCUUUUCAAUGGAACCGACGAAAAUACGUUUUCAAAUCGGGAUAGCGUAAACCGCCAAAGCGCCUUGGACUGCGGGUUAGAUUUCCAAAUUUUCCAGGGACUCUUAACCUAAAAUUGCAGGUGAAAGGGUAUGUUUAAAUCGUGGCCAUUGAUCUUCGGUUGGAUGGCCACGAUCUGCUCUUGGGGGUCCUCAGCGGCGGCCGGCUGGCCUCUCCCUGUCCCACGCGGUGGCCGCUAUGGCCAGAGGCCGAGGCUCGCCGGCGUCGUCCGGCUUCUCGUUUCCGAGCACCAAAUCAAGAAGCGAGAGAGAGCGAGGAGGUCGGGUCGCGGCGGCGGAACGCAUGCUGCUCCAGCGAGAUCCAAAUCGCGAAGUCUAGGGCUCGGUUUGGCAGCCGCAAAGCAAAGGGGAUGCCGCGGGGUUGGGAAGGAACUUUAUAGGGCACAAAACGGCAAGAAAAUCGCGAAAGUUUCGGGAUUGGAGAGAUUGAGCUCGGCUCGGUUUGUCCCCAACCGAGUCCUACCCGACUACGGCAGGGAAGGAGAAGGGCGCUGCGCAGUGGGUCCCGUGCGUCAGCCAAAGUGGUGCUGGGUCCCGUUCACCAGCGGCAGAAAGGAUAGAGAGGGAGGGUGCGCACGUGGGCCGCGGGAAAGGGGAAAUGGGCCGGGGAAGGGGGAAGUGGAGAAGAAGGAGCAGGCCGGGGGGUGAGGGGAGCUGGGCCUCGGCGUGGAUCCCAGGGGCUUUCUUUUUUUUUAUUCUUUUCUUUUUCCAUUUUAUUUUCUUUUCUGUUUUCUUUUCCUAAAACCUUUUACAAAUAAAAUUGUGAAUGCAAAUAAAUUCAAGCCAGAGGCAAACAAUACAAAAUAAAAUAUUCUUCAGUAUGAAUGCAUAAACAAGUUUCUAAUCUUAUGAUAAAUUUUAAUUUUGACCAAAAAAAUAUUUAAGUGCUAAAUUUAAAUGCGCACAAAAAUACUUAAUUAAAUCAAAUUACUCCCUAUUUAUUUAAAACAGAUUUUUGGGUGUUACAAACUCUACCCCCCUUAAAAGAAUCUCGUCCUCGAGAUUGAGCAGUGCAUAAACAAACCACUGUGGAUACGAUUCUCUCCAAUCAUAAUCUCUUUCCCAAGUUGCUUCUUCCUCUAACAACUGAUUCCAUUGCACUAGCAAUUUCAUGUCUCUAGUCAGGUAACAUACCUGGUAACUUAUCUGAAAAUUUAUUCUCUACACAGUCCUGAAGAUCAACACCAUCAUCCAGCUGAUUCACUCUAGCCGUGGGUGGAGCCUGCACUGCUACAUCCACACUGAUUCUCUCUCCCUUGGGUGUUGUCACAACUACUACUUUCUCUUUGCAUUUAAUUUCCGUAGCAUAUUUCUUCAUCCAAUCCAAACCCAAAAUCACAUCUAUGCCUGAGGUUCUCAUGACCAUGGGACUAACCGGGAAAUCUACCCCCCUUAAAGAAAGACUUGCUGAGGGGCAACAAUAUGAAACUGGUAUAGUCCCUCCCCGUGAGUUUACUAGCAUAUGGAUUUUCAUGGCAACUAGUGGUAUGCUAUGAACUCUAACAAAUGCUUGUGAUAUGAAUGUAUAUGAAGCUCCAGAAUCAAAUAAAACUGUAGCAGGAAUAGAGUUGAUACUGAACAUACCCAUCAUGAUUUCUGGUCUCUCUUGUACUGUCUCUGCAGCCACAUGGUUCACCUUUGCUCCAAGAGAAUUAGACUUUUGAUUGUUGUUCUGCUGGUUGAAUCUCUCCGGGAAAUCAUAUGACAUAUGAUCUUCUUUACCACAGCGAAAACACCUAGUAGGGGUAUUGGGAGCACUUCUCUUCAUAGAGGUGGCAUUUGAAUUUCUUGAGCGGUGAUUCUGCUGACCACUCUGCUAUUGAUUAGGAUUACGCUGAGGUUAUUGGUUGCGAUCCCAUUGACCAACCGGUCCCUGGUACCUCUAUUGAUCGCCCUGCUGAGGAUUGAAACGUUGGCGGUUGUUGCCUCCAGAACCUUGGGCUAGCAUCCUUCGCUUCUUGUCCUGGCCUUUGCGCAUGUUAUCCAACACAAUAGCACGAUUCACCAGAGCUUGAAAAGUAGGAUAGGUAUUUCUAGCCAACUGCAACCUAAGCUCAUAGUAAAGACCUUUCAUGUAGAGACGCUACUUAUCGGCAUCUUCUCUGACUUCAUUUGGAGCAUAGCGAGCCAACUGCUAAAACAUGUCAUGAUACUCAGCCAUAGACAUAGAACCCAUCCUGAGAGAUCUAAAUUCUUCCUGCUUAAGCUCCAUCAUUCCCUCAUUGAUGUGUCGUGCUCGGAAGUCUCUGCAAAAUUCUAACCAAGUGACAGAAGGAGCAUUGUUGGGACGAGCAGCUUGAUAUGACUCCCACCAGGUCUGAGCUGCUCCCUGAAGUUGUCUAGAAGCAUACAACACCUUCUCUAAGUCAUUGCACUGUGCCAUGUUCAAUUGCCUCUCCACAGCACGUAGCCAAUCAUCUGCCUCCAUAGGAUCAGUUGAAUGUGUAAAUACCGGAGGUCUUCCCUUCAUGAAUUCCCCCCGCUUAUCUCUCACAUGAACAGGUGGUGGGGGUGGUGGAGGUUGCUGUUGUAGGUGCUGCAUGAAGACGUGCAUCAUCUCAUUCUGAGUUUGCAUAAGUUCCUCCACAGUGAUUGGGCCAUUGCCACCAUUGCCGUUGCCAUUGCCAUUGCCAUUGACACAGCCUCUGCUCUGCCUCUUCCCCUUGCUGCCAUCUGCAUUCCAAGGUAUAUAAACACAUUUUAGUAAUGUCCAACAUGAUAAUUACAAGAGUUAACGGAAUCUGAAAUUUUCUGGGUAACAUCCAACAUUAGCAGAUCAGAAAAUCAAUCAUAUCUCGUGUUCCAGAAAUCCAAAGGAUACAUGCUGUACACCGUUGGAAAGAUAAAGAAAUUGUCUACAACUUUCAUUUAGAUAAUAUUACCAGAUUCCAAGGUUAGGUUAAUCAAAAACUGUGUACAAUCGAAACUGUUCCAGAAUUCCAGAAUGCGCAGAAACCUCAACUUUGAACAGUCAUAUCUCACAGCUCACAACCGAUAAUAUUAUAAUUCUAGAGGCAUUGGAAAUAUAUGAGAGUUUACUGGUUCCCAGAAAAAUUUGAUGAACAUUGCUUGAACAGAUUUUGAGAUGUACCAGAUUCAUUGCCGACUGCUCCAGAAAACAGCAAAGGACAGAAACAGAAUUUUAACCAAACCCGACUAUUUAGUCCAUUAAUCCUUAUGCCUUAGGCCUAUAGACUAAAUGAAAUUGUAGAGAAAAUCUACAAGAUCAUUACACUCAUUACAAAGAUCCAAAUCAAGCAUAAGCAUAAUAACAACCCAAACCAAGCAUCAAAGGUUCACACUUCAAGCAUUGACUCAACUUGCGGUACUAUCGUUCUUUUCCUAUUAAGGGCAAAGAUCCUAAAACACCUAUCUCAGAGAUGCCAGAAGGUGGUAAGAAAAGGUUCUAAGAGCAUAUCAAGCAAGGAGUGGGGAUGACAACAAGUUUUUAAAAUAAGCAACAAGGUAAAGAUGAAUAGGUUAUAGUGUAGAAGAAAAUAUCAAGGUUUAUAGAGCAAGGAUUUUAUAGCAAUUUCAAAACCUUAAGACGGCCAAUUUCUAACUAGGCUUGCGUCCGACAGUCAACAAAGCUUUGAUACCAAUUUGUCACACCCAUAUUUUAAGAAUAAAAUAGGAUGCAUAAAAGACUCAUAUGUGCCCCAGAAACAGUCGCACACAUAAAUAGACAAAUCUCAAAUGUACCAUCGCAGUGUUUAUUACAUAGCGGAAUAUAAAAUAUCACGUAGUCUCAUACAAAAAUGAUAGCAUAAAGUAAACAACGCUCUCGAUGGAAGCUCCACACAGGGACACUGUUGACUGGUUGACUCCAAACCUAGUACUCAUAACGGUAAUCCUCAUUCCAGUCAUCUUCAUUAUCAUAUCCUGAGAUGUUGGGAAAUUGCAAGAGUGAGCACAUAUCGUACUCAACAAGUAUAACCAGGGGUUCAUGAGGCUCAAAUAGCUGACACUGGUUUGACUGCAUUUAGCUUUUAAUAGUGGAUAACAUAUUCACAAUUAAGUAGCAAUGGUCAAGGUAGCAUAAAUAAUCCAUUAAUCCCAUGAUCAAGUGUAAGCAUAAUUAAUUCUUAGCAUAAACGAUAAUCAAAUGAACAUAACAACUUAAUAAGCUCAUCGUCGGCGCAGCAAGAACCCCAAAGGCCGCUCAUAACCGUGAGCACGGCUAGUAUACCAGUUUUACACUCUGCAGAGGUUGUACAUCUUUACCCAUGAGUCAUGAUUUACCCUUUCGCCCGAGGCCCGUCGACCUCUUAACCCACUACCAAGGAAGGUCGGCAGGGAUCACUAUGAAGCCUUUCAAAAGUUCGUCUAACAUGUUAGGGCCGCAAGGUUUUCUUUAUGAGCAGAUAUAGAUACCCCCCUUCCGAAUGGCACAAUGACGCGCAGCCUAUACACAUAGGGGCAGGGGCUCGCACUAUACCCGUGUCGGUUCAGCCCCUCCGCCCUUUCGGGUAACCUCUAACAAGCUAGAAAAGGUCUCCAUACUGAGCUAAAGCCAGUGCCAUUAUAGCCCUCAUGGUUGCACUGUUGUCCCGGUGAUCACUUACAGACAAGAUCUCAUAUAGUUAUUUGUUAUCUUUGAACGUUCAUUGCAUAGCUAUUAAUCAUCUUACAAGAUCUUGGAUUAUAUCAAGCACUAGUACAUCUACAGCAAAUGCAUAUCAAGUAGGUAGCAAGGAAUCCAGGUAACAAUUAUCUAUGAUUUUGCUAAGGUCGACAAGGUGCAAGCAUGCAUAUGAUAUAUAUGUGUAUUUAAGUGAAUAGGUAACAAGGAUGAUCCCAAGUUAUACUUGCCUUGAUCAAAGCUCUCCUGAGCCUGCUGCUGGUCGUCAAAAGAUUGACCUUGAUCACCAACAUAUCGCUCACCGUCUAUUCCCAAACAUCAAUCAACAACACGCAAUCAAUUAGAGACAAUCAUACACAAAGCAAACGAGAUAUAAUUACAACAUUACACCAAACAGUAGUAAAAUAAAUAUAAAAGUUUAUGAAAAUAUUCUACGCAGCGCUACGAUCACACAAACGUAAAGUUCACGAAAAUCGGAAUUAAAACGUGAAAGAUAUGAAUUUUCUAAGAUUUCCUAUAGAGAAAUAAUUAAUUAAAUGCUACUGCAAAAAUAAAAAGUUUCAAAACAGUAAACUAAUAUUUCUAACAUGUAGAGCAUAUAAUUACGAACCUAACGCAAUUUCAAUGGACAAAAACGGAGUUAAAAUGAAUAUUUUAUGACCAAUUCAAUUCCAAUGGCAAAACUGUAAAUAUCUGAUUGCGCCUUUUCACUACGAAAAUACGUUUUCAAAUCGGGAAAGCGUAAACCGCCAAAGCGCCUUGGACUGCGGGUUAGAUUUCCAAAUUUUCCAGGGAUUCUUAACGUAAAAUCGCAGGUGAAAGGGUAUGUUUAAAUCAGGGCCGUUGAUCUUCGGUUGGAUGGCCACGAUCUGCUCUUGGGGGUCCUCGGCGGCGGCCGGCUGGCCUCUCCCUGUCCGACGUGGUGGCCGCCAUGGCCGGAGGCCGAAGCUCACCGGCGUCGUCCGGCUUCUCGUUUCCGAGCACCAAAUCAAGAAGCGAGAACAUGGGAAGAUGCAGAAGAAACUCGCGAACUCACAUAGAUGGUUUACUCGAGCCGAGAGAGAGCGAGGAGGUCGGGUCGUGGCGGCGGAACGCGUGCUGCUCCAGCGAGAUCCAAAUCGCGAAGUCUAGGGCUCGGUUUGGCAGCCGCAAAGCAAAGGGGAGGCCGCGGGGUUGGGAAGGAACUUUAUAGGGCACAAAACGGCAAGAAAAUCGCGAAAGUUUCGGGAUUAGAGAGAUUGAGCUCGGCUCGGUUUGUCCCCAACCGAGUCCUACCCGAGUACGGCAGGGAAGGAGAUGGGCGCUGCGCAGUGGGUCCCGCGCGUCAGCCAAAGGGGUGCUGGGUCCCGGUCACCAGCGGCAGAAAGGAGAGAGAGGGAGGGUGCGCACGUGGGCCGCGGGAAAGGGGAAAUGGGCCGGGGAAGGGGGAAGUGGAGAAGAAGGAGCAGGCCGGGGGGUGAGGGGAGCUGGGCCUCGGCGUGGAUCCCAGGGGCUUUCUUUUUUUUUAUUCUUUCCUUUUCCAUUUUAUUUUCUUUUCUGUUUUCUUUUCCUAAAACCUUCCAAAUAAAAUUGUGAAUGCAAAUAAAUUCAAGCCAGAGGAAAACAAUACAAAAUAAAAUAUUCUUCAGCAUGAAUGCAUAAACAAGUUUCUAAUCUUAUGAUAAAUUUUAAUUUUGACCAAAUAAAUAUUUAAGUGCUAAAUUUAAAUGCGCACAAAAUACUUAAUUAAAUCAAAUUACUCCCUAUUUAUUUAAAACAGAUUUUUGGGUGUUACAGUUGACCAUUUACCUUGAAUAACGUACCUUCGUCAUUUUGAAGUGUGAUAGCUCCGUGGGAUGAUGAAUUAAUUACCUGGAAUGGUCCUUCCCACUUGCUCCAGAGUUUCCCAUGCCCGAAAAGCUUCACCCUGGAAUUAAAAAGUAAUACCUUAUCUCCGGGUGUGAACUCCUUCUUGAUUCUCUUGUCAUGCCACCUUUUGACUCUUUCUUUGUAGAUCUUUGAAUUGUGAUAUGCUUUCUCUCGCCAUUCUUCCAAUUCUGAUAGUUGCAUUCUUCUAUGAUCUCCAGCAACGUCUAGGUCCAUAUUCCAUCUCUUUUAUGGCCAAGUGUGCUUUGAACUCUAGUUCAACAGGUAGGUGGCAAGUCUUCCCGUACACCAAUUGGUAUGGAGACAUUCCAAUUGGGGUCUUGUAUGCUGUCUGGUAUGCCCAGAGUGCAUCGGGUAACUUGUCUUUCCACGCCGUUCCCAUUUCAUUUACUGUCUUCUCAAGAAUAUUCUUGAUUUGCUUGUUGGAAGCCUCUGCUUGGCCACUUGUCUGAGGAUGAUAGGGGGUAGGGACGUUGUGACGGAUUCCAUGUUUUGAUAGAUAUUGCUUGAAGCGUUUGUCGAUGAAGUGUGCUCCUCCAUCACUUAUCACUACUCUGGGGACUCCAAAUCUUGGAAAUAUAAUUUCUUCAAACAUCCUCUUUGAACUGAUGUUGUCGGCAUGCUUGCAAGGUAACGCCUCUACCCACUUGGAGACAUAGUCAACCGCCACCAAGAUGUACUCACACUUCUUUGAUGGAGGAAAUGAACCCAUAUAGUCUAUUCCCCAGACAUCGAAGAGCUCAAUCUGAAGGUUGUUGGUGAGUGGCAUUGCAUCCCUUGUAUUUAUGUUUCCGUGCCUUUGACAUGGCCCACAUCUUCUGAUAUAUUGCUUCAUGUCUUCAUACAUUGUAGGCAAGUAGAAUCCACACUGCCAGAUCUUUGAAUGUGUACGGAAUGCUCCAUAGUGACCUCCAUAUGGUGAUGAAUGGCAUCUGUCGAUGAUCUUCCAUCCUUCCUCAGUGGUCACACAUUUCCUGAGUAAGCCAUCAGAGCAUACUCGGAAGAGGUAUGGCUCAUCCCACAUAUGUGAACGACUUUCUUGAAUAAGCUUCUUCUUGUUUGCUCCUGGUGGUACAUACUAAAACCAUAAAAUUAACAAUAUCUGCAUACCAGGGGUCAGACCUGUUAAUCCCGUAGAGCAUGUCGUCCCGGAGUGAAUCAUUGAUGGGGGUUUCCUAUGGACUCAUAAAAUACAUUCUAGACAAGUGAUCAGCAACGGAAUUUUCUACUCCCUUUUUAUCUCUUAUUUCUAAGUCAAAUUCUUGGAGUAAUAAAAUCCAUCUAAUCAGGCGAGGUUUAGCAUCUUUUUUAGUGAGCAAAUAUUUUAGUGCAGCAUGAUCAGUGUUAACAAUUAUUUUAGCUCCAACUAAAUAAGAUCUAAAUUUAUCAAUGGCAAAGACAACAGCCAGAAGCUCUUUUUCAGUGGUUGCAUAAUUAAGUUGAGCUCUUGUCAAAGUUUUACUGGCAUAAGCAAUUGCAUGAUGCUUCUUAUUUUUAGUUUGUCCCAAAACUGCCCCCACAGCAUGAUCACUAGCAUCACACAUAAUUUCAAAAGGCAACGACCAAUCAGGGGGUUGAAUGAUUGGUGCAGAGAUGAGUGCUUUCUUUAAUAAAUUAAAAGAUGUUAGACAUGCAUCAUCAAAUUCGAAAGGAGCAUCCUUGGCUAGCAAAAGAGUAAGUGGUCUAGCAAUAAAUGAAAAAUCUUUUAUGAAUCUACGAUAAAAACCAGCAUGGCCAAGAAAGCUUCGAAUUCCUUUUAUAUUCACAGGUGGAGGUAGUUGUUCAAUUACUUUAAUUUUAGCUUUAUCUACCUCAAUACCUCUUUCAGACACUAAGUGUCCCAACACUAUUCCUUCCCUAACCAUGAAAUGACAUUUUUCCCAAUUAAUGACUAAGUGCUUUUCUUCACAUCUUUGCAAAACCUUGUCUAAGUUUUCAAGACAACUAUCAAAAGUUUUUCCAUAAAUAGAGAAAUCAUCCAUGAAAACUUCCAUAACCUCUUCAAUCAUAUCAGAAAAUAUAGACAUCAUGCAUCUUUGAAAAGAAGCUGGUGCAUUACAUAACCCAAAAGACAUUCUACGGUAAGCAUAAGUUCCAUAUGGGCAUGUAAAAGUGGUUUUGCUUUGAUCAUCGGGAUGGAUCGGGAUCUGAUGAUACCCUGAAUAUCUAUCUAAGAAACAGAAGAACGAACGGUUUGCUAACCGCUCUAGCAUCUCAUCUAUGAAAGGUAAAGGAAAGUGAUCCUUUCUCGUGGCUUUGUUUAGUUUUAUAUAGUCUAUGCACAUCCGCCAUCCUGUGACGGUGCGUUGCGUAAUUAGCUCGUUCUUUUCAUUCAUAAUAACAGUCAUGCCUCCCUUUUAGGCACAACUUGAACUGGGCUUACCCACUCACUGUGCGACACAGGAUAUAUAAUCCCUGCAUGCAGCAACUUUAUAACUUCCUUUUUAACUACCUCUCUCAUAGUGUUAUUAAGUCUACAUUAGGGUUCUCGAGAAGGUGAAAUAGAAGGAUCUGUUGGAAUACGAUGGGUACAAAUCAUAGGACUGAUUCCUCUAAGAUCUUGGAGUGAGUAGCCGAAAACUGAGUGAUGUUUCUCAAGAAUGGUCUGUUGAUAUUUGGUAACGCAAUAAGGAAAUGAUCCGCAAGCGCACGGAUAUCGGUGAGCAUUUCACCCGGGAGGUUUUCCAGAGUAUCGUAUUUAUAUUUUUACCACUGAGAGAAAGGGUGCAUCUGACUAACCAAAUCUAUUGCUACUAUCCCUUUAGGCACAAAGAAUGUCUUUCGAUGUGAGUGAUACAUAGAGAAGACUGCAACCGUAGUCUCCUUCUAACCUUGGUAAGGAUGAUCUACUGUUCUAAUGGGGAGGCUAACGGAAUCUAGACACCACAAAGGAUGUUCAACCCGCACCUAUAAACCCUAUCCUUCCUGCUAACGAGAUGUGAUCUACAAAGGUAGCUCGGAAAUGUCACGUUCCUCACUACUACCACGGUCCAGCUAGUCAGGGAAUAUCUAUGAGUACCCCAGCCUAAACACCACGUUUACGCCAGUAAUGAUUACUUUAAACUCUACGCGAAGAGAUUAAAGUAAACUCAUAAACCAUAAGAACAAUAAAAUAGGAACUUACUAGAAUUUAGAAGUCGAAUUUCUGAAGAAUCCUAGGAGCAAGCUUCAGGUUAGGAGAACUUGAUCCCGCAGGUACAAGCUUGGAGUAGACACCGACAGGCCGGGCUUCCUUCACUCUACACCUCCACUCUAUCUCUCUCAAUCUAGUAGAAACUAGAAGAUCUAUUUCUACCUUACAUUGAUUGCUAAGCCUAAAAAGAAAUAUUAAUUAGAGAAGAGGUUUUCCUUCGAGGGCACCCCUCAGUCUCUAUGAUAAUUUCUUCAUGUCUUCCAGGGGCCAGGGGAGCCUCGCUUAUAUAGUCCUCCCCUUCUAUGCGUUUUUGGGUCGAUAGCCGAGGUGGUACUAUGUUUUUCUUGAUCUAAUAGGUCGGUGGAAUAUCCCGAGCGAAGGAGUCCUGAAUUGACUCCAGCAGGGGGGCGGGCGCCCAGGCUACCAGGGCGGGCGCCCUGGGCCUGGCCCAGCUUCGCCUCCGCUUCGGUCUCGUGGCUUCUGGAGUCUUCUAGAUGAUGUAAAAUUACGCGGUGCGUUGAUAUCUCUAUGUAAUCCCAACAUGUGGGCCUUUCUUCCUUAUUUCCUGAUAACCCCCUGCAGAAAUAGAUAAACAACAAAACUCGUGGAAUUCUGUCAGAUCAAACCCUAAUUCUAGGUGAUGGUUGCAUAUUGGUCCUUUCUCGUGUUUAUUUGAUAAUUAAAAUUGAUACUUAAGAACCAUCAACAAAUAACCCCAUACAUAGGCUUUGACUCGUCCUCGAGAAAAGGAUGGUUAAGAAUAAUAUCUGGGGUAAACAUUUAAAACAUUCUCUUUAUAAUUGCAGGGUGUUAAAAAUUCCACUGUGUACCAUAGUCAGGGAUGUGUAUGGUUAAGUGUAAAGAUUCUUUCUUUUCAAUCCUGUCACUUGGAGUUUUUGUAUAUUUUUGAAAGAAAGUUAGCAUACCUUUUUGAUCCUCAUAGGUUCUCUCAGAUCACUCAUUAUCUUUUAUAUAUAUAUAUCUCAUUGAGGCUGUUUUAUUUUGCAAAAAUUCUCAAGCAUACUUACUUUGGAUUUAUUGCCUGAUCAAAACGGGAUCCGAGGAGGGAAAUGUCAUACUCUUAGAUCAAAGACUUUGGAAAUUAAAAACUUUGUCAACUCUUGCUGGCAUAUUGCUUAUUAGAGGGACCAUGGGCUAUCAUUUUUUUUCUUUUUCUUUUUUUUCUUUUUUUUAAGUGGAUACCGAGGUACCCCUAAUUCUACUUCCGGACACUUGUCCAUUAUUUCUGCGAGGUUGUCGAGCACUUGCUCCUUUUUAUUUCCUCGAAAUAUCUUCUAUUUUUGCAUAGCCCAUGCCUCUAAUGCAAUAAUACUUCGGAAGAGUGAAUCUUACUGAAAUAAUGUCUUGAUCUUAGGAGCAUGAUAAAUCUCUCAACAAGGGUCUAACUCAUUUUGAACAAACUCAAUACAGAGCAGAUAGCUUUUAUAAUCAUAUUUAAUAUUUCAGUUUUAUCAGGCAUAUAAAACACUGAGGAUGGUAGCUAGGAAUUUCGACAUUUUGAAAUAAAUUCUGCAAGCAACAAUGAUAUCAAGAAUAAGAAACUCAUACUCUACCAUCACAUAUUCCAUCUUGACUUAAGUAACACAGGGUUUUAAAAAAUGAUUUUAUACUAAUUGCAAGUUUUCAGGAAAUAUCACAGAUUGAGAUUAAUCAUGAUUAGAAAUAUUUUAAUCUUUUUAUUUUAUCAUGUCGGGAACAAUAUUCUGCAUAAUCUAAAAUAUAUAUAUGUGUAGAGUAAAGUGUGCAGAGUGUGUACCUGAAUCGUGGAGUGGUGUAGUCGGAAUGUGUUUAGCAUGUCGAGGGAUCUCCCCCAUACUUGUUUUCUGCUUUCUUGCACAAAAAUAAAGUAGAGACACACAAGACAUAAUAAUAAUACUCUUUAUUGAUCUUGAGGCAUUUAUUACACAAGGAAGAACAAAAUUAUUUUUGGCUAUUCUCUCCCGGAUUAGGAGUAGAAUAUUUUUGGGUGAUUCUAAAGAUAGAAAUGUAUGGAUAUAUGUGGAUGGUACUUCCGGAGUAGAAGUAGCAUGUGUGAGUGAACGUGCAAGUGAAUCUUGAUUUAACCACAUGACAAGCUCCUAAGGGUCUACAUAGCUUGACCACACUCAAUGCUCAUAAGCAGUAAAAAGUAAUUGUGUGGCUCGAAGUCUAGCAAGCAUGUAUAUAUGGCUGUGGUAGGAAUUUAAACUCUCAUCAUACAGGAACUCAUCAUGCAACAUUUUAAAGAUUUCCAAAGAUAAAAUUCUCCAGAAUUCUAGCAUCUCUAGAAACAGAUAAACAGCAGCUCAACCUUCCCAUAUCGUAUCCGUUAACAACUUAGAUUUCAGAUCAAGUUUUCAUCCCACAAGUUUAGGUCUAGAGCAAGCUUUAAAUUAUAACAGUUAUGUCUAAACUUGAGAGAGAACUUAAAAUGUGCAAAUUAGGCAGAGCAACUAUUCAUCAUUUCCAUGCUUGAGUUUUAUUUAGAUACAGAUUAGCAUAGCCACUUUAUUUAUUUAUUAAACACACUAAGCAAAAGACAUAUAUAUAUAUAAGCAUAAAAUCUUUAUUUGGUUUUUCAUAGUUAUGUAUAUUUAUAUUCUAAAAGAAUAUAAGUAUAGAGAUAGAUAGAUAGAAAUACUUAUUGAGAUAAAUGGGGUGCUCUCCCCCAAGCUGAAUUUUGACGUAAUUUCUCUUGAUGUAGCUAGCAGGUGGCAGAGGUGUAUUUGAAAGUCAGCAGCAUUGUGACAGCGAUUAGAAUAUCCUCCGUCUGCCAGUCUUCUUGAUUCUUAGAUUCUGUGGAGCUCAAAUAGACAACAAAGCUCGUGGAACUAAUUAAGUGUUAGCAUAAAUAUCUAGCCUUUAUCAUGUUGAGACUCCUUAAUAAUUAUUACUCCCUGUUUUUAUAUUUUUAUUUUAUAAAGCAGAAAAAUAUUUUUGUUUUAUUUUUAUGCCACCACAGUGAAUGUACUUAUGGGUUUUAUGCCACUCGUAUCCUCACAUGGGGCUUACUGUUUUUCACAUUUUUACUUUCUGUUUAGAACUUAAUUAACUAAGUGAACUACUUGAAAUAAUUGAAAGGGAAAGGAUAACUACCAAGUUUACCUCUUGGCAAGGCGUUCGGUGUUUUUAAGUCCUCCGAACGGGACUCUCCUUCUUCUCAAUUGUCCUGAGGUUCGUUCGGUGGCGUAGUCGGUACUUCCGGUAGCGCCUCCUCUUCAUGUAUAGUUAUCUUCCUUUUCCACACCUGACUUGGUGCUUCGGUCUCCUCUGGAUAAUUCUGUUUAAACUCAACAUCUUCUGACCUUACAACUUUUCCUUCGUAGUCUGCCCAUCCGUCCUUGAUGAUUUGCCUCCUCUGGUUGCGGUUGCGUCGUCUUCUUCUUGUCCUGACCUGCUUAGAAUCUUAAACUAUAUAGUUAGAAUCAUUAAAGUAAUGGCGUACCUUCUCGGAGGGGAAAUACACGUGGACUUCUCCGGUUCCAAUGUAGAUGAUAACUUGGAUAGUGUUGAGGAAUGGUCUUCCAAGGAUGAUGGGUGGAUCGUACUCGUCUUCUCCCAUAUCAAUGUUCUGAAAAUCAUCUGGAGCUAAAUAUAUAUUGGUUGUAGGGGCAUGGUUCCAUGCAGGAGCUGAUAAGUGACUGCGGCCAUUAUGUUGACGUUAGAUCCGGUGUCGUAGAGUGUUUUCUAAAAAGAGUAUCUAUUGGUUGUGCACUCGAUGAUUGGAACACCAGGGUCGUCCUUCUUGAUCAAGAAAGGUGACUUGAGUCGACGAUCUUGACCUCCUUGAGCUGCAGUGACCAUCUUAGCUGACUCGGUCCACAUUUGCUUGUUCCUGUUCCUCCUGUUGGUCCUCUUCCUUGGUUCAUGUCCGGAUUGCUCUGAAGUUUAUGUAGUCUUGUUCUUGAAGAAAAGUCUCCUUCUUCCCCUUGAUGUAGAGACUGAUCUUGGCAUCAUUAGCGUAGAUGACAGCUCUGGAGUUUAGGAAUGGCCUCCGUAAGAUGAUGGGUGCCCUCUCCUCAGUACCAGUCUCUACCACCACGAAGUUUGCUGGACCGUACAAGGUACCAACUUGGACACAGAGGUUCUUUAAUAUUUCCUUUGGGAAACUAAGUGUCUGAUCUCCAUUGUGUUUAUGCUCGUAGAUCCCGGUUCUUCACUUAAUGGAAUCUGGGAGUUGUAAAACGCCUUCACGUUUCUCAAAAUGUGUCCUGCUCAUAGAGACAAGGCAGAGAUCAAGUGCAUGGGCUCUGUUGGUGGAAAACACCAACAGAACCAAAAGUGUAUUUGUUCUUUUCUAACCUUAAGCAUAGUGAGCAAGACAAAGUUGAUGGAUCAUGAGUGUAGCAUUUAAAACAUUUGUUAGAUCAGAUGGCUCAACCUAAUGGAAAGAUAAUCUAUCUAUAUUUAUGUUUUGUUUUUAUCUUCCAAAGAUUGAAUGUGCAACAUAUUAGCUUAUAUGUUUAGGAGCGUGGGAUUAUGAAGGUAGUACUAAGAACAAAGAUUAAGGGACUAAACAUGUUGAAUCAGUUAGGUUGGUUAAUUUAGAGUUAUAAAUCAUACAUGUUUGUCUCUUUAUUUAUGUGAAUGCCAGAACCAAUGAGAAACUUAUAAAAGGAUAGUCAAGUACCUUAAGAUGUUACCUUUGAAGAGUGAUGGUACAGUAUCACCUUGUAGAAGCUUUUCUUUCUAGCGGUUGUGCAUCGUGUUUGUGUCUCCCUCCGUGGAUCAUCUCUUAUGAGCUACGUCUUUCUUGUGCAAAUUGUUAAACUUCAUGUGUCACUUUCUUCAUCUCUAAUGUGAGUUUAUCUCAGGACUUCCCAGGUUGAUAUUGAAAGUUUUCCUGCAGGGGUUAGUCCCACAAAAUAUACCAAUGUCUACACAAGCAAUUUUUAGUUCGAUAACCGAACUAGACUCCAUGUCUAAUCAGAUUAAGGAAGGCUGUUUAACCUAAGCACCAUGCUUAAUUUAAAAGCCAAUAGAAGUAUGUGCAGUACUUCCAAACUAACACUUACUAGGAUAAACAAAGGUAGCGUGAUGGCAUUUAUAGAGAUCUACUUAAGUGGAGAUGAAGUAGUGUGAUUAGUAUUUAACAAAUUGAGCAUGUCUCAAAGGUAAGGACAACCAACAUAGCAACAUGGCAAAGGAUGUUUUUAUGUGAAGUACUCCCCUAAGCUUGAAUUUUGCAAAAUUCAAGAUUGGAUGAAUUUAAUUCACUGUUGCAUGUUGAUUGGUUGGGCAUACCUUGCGCUUGUCAUUCAUCCAGUCUUCUUGCUCCAAUCCUAGAAAGGUUAGUGACAAGAAUACCCGAAGGAAUAUUUCUACAAUUAUCUUUAUAUGCUCAAUACACAAGGUAAUGUUGCAAGUAAUUAGAAGUUCAUGUUACAAUCUGAUAAGUGCUUGUUUUAGGACACUAAGCUUGUCCUUGGGAAACCAUCAAUUAACUCGACGAGAUCUGCAAUAUUUAUUAUAAACAUAUGCAUCGACAACCGCUCUUUUAAAGUUUUUAUAAAUAGAAAAGAAGAGAGGGUUGGAGAUCUCAAAUGUGGUGAUAGCACAUGAAUUUUUAAUGCCCUCUAGCCAUUGAUGUUGCUCUUCUCGAUCCUCCUUAUGCAUGGGAUGUCUAGAGAGAUUCAUAGGAUUAUCGGGAGGUUCAAGAGAAAGAGCAUAGUAGAGAUUAUUAGGCUCAAGGAUGGGUUGGAUAGCCGAAUCAUGGGAUUGGAAAGUUUGGAAAUCGGCUAUUGAAACUUCCUCUCCUUGUAUGGGAGAUGAUUCCUUCUCUAUCUCUAUGAUUUUUCUAUGAAGACUAGUACAAGAAGGAUGUCCACGAAUGAAGACAUACCUUCCGUUACUAACUGAUAAAGAAAGAAGGACUCUACCAAAGGUUAUAUGAUUAAGACCAAUGUGAAAAUAUCUAAGAAAAACAUGGUCUUGCAAGGCUAUUUCUAAUCCAGAAUUUAUAGAAAGAUUAACAGAUUCCCUAGGUGUAGCUAAAAGUGCAUUAUCUUCUUGAUUAAAAGAUAGGACCUUGGCUAUAGAAAAGGGUUGGUUUUGACCUAUUGCAAUCAACUCCGGACACAGAUCAUAAUUAGGGGCAGGAUGUGUUGACUCCCAUGGUCUAUGGCUGGUCUCCGAAGGUGCAAAGAAUUUAAUAAUAGUUAUGGAAUUUGAGUUAUCCACAAAGAUAAAAAUAAAAAGAUAAAAGAAUAAAAGUAUAAAAGUAUAAUACAAGAUAAUAGCAAGACUCAAAGUUAUCUCAGCAAACCGUCUUUCUCCCCGGCAACGGCGCCAGAAAUGCUUGUUGAUAUUUGGUAACGCAAUAAGGAAAUGAUCCGCAAGCGCACGGAUAUCGGUGAGCAUUUCACCCGGGAGGUUUUCCAGAGUAUCGUAUUUAUAUUUUUACCACUGGGAGAAAGGGUGCAUCUGACUAACCAAAUCUAUUGCUACUAUCCCUUUAGGCACAAAGAAUGUCUUUUGAUGUGAGUGAUAAAUAGAGAAGACUGCAACCGUAGUCUCCUUCUAACCUUGGUAAGGAUGAUCUACUGUUCUAAUGGGGAGGCUAACGGAAUCUAGACACCACAAAGGAUGUUCAACCCGCACCUAUAAACCCUAUCCUUCCUGCUAACGAGAUGUGAUCUACAAAGGUAGCUCGGAAAUGUCACGUUCCUCACUACUACCACGGUCCAGCUAGUCAGGGAAUAUCUAUGAGUACCCCAGCCUAAACACCACGUUUACGCCAGUAAUGAUUACUUUAAACUAUACGCGAAGAGAUUAAAGUAAACUCAUAAACCAUAAGAACAAUAAAACAGGAACUUACUAGAAUUUAGAAGUCGAAUUACUGAAGAAUCCUAGGAGCAAGCUUCGGGUUAGGAGAACUUGAUCCCGCAGGUACAAGCUUGGAGUAGACACCGACAGGCCGGGCUUCCUCCACUGUACACCUCCACUCUAUCUCUCUCAAUCUAGUAGAAACUAGAAGAUCUAUUUCUACCUUACAUUGAUUGCUAAGCCUAAAAAGAAAUAUUAAUUAGAGAAGAGGUUUUCCUUCGAGGGCACCCCUCAGUCUCUAUGAUAAUUUCUUCAUGUCUUCCAGGGGCCAGGGGAGCCUCGCUUAUAUAGUCCUCCCCUUCUAUGCGUUUUUGGGUCGAUAGCCGAGGUGGUACUAUGUUUUUCUUGAUCUAAUAGGUCAGUGGAAUAUCCCGAGCGAAGGAGACCUGAAUUGACACCAGCAGGGGGGCGGGCGCCCAGGCUACCAGGGCGGGCGCCCUGGGCCUGGCCUAGCUACGCCUCCGCUUCGGUCUCGUGGCUUCUGGAGUCUUCUAGAUGAUGUAAAAUUACGCGGUGCGUUGAUAUGUCUAUGUAAUCCCGACAUGUGGGCCUUUCUUCCUUAUUUCCUGAUAACCCCCUGCAGAAAUAGAUAAACAACAAAACUCGUGGAAUUCUGUCAGAUCAAACCCUAAUUCUAGGUGAUGGUUGCAUAUUGGUCCUUUCUCAUGUUUAUUUGAUAAUUAAAAUUGAUACUUAAGAACCAUCAACAUGGUCAUCAAUCGCAGAGUUUGCUCCUGAGUGAGUUUGUCGCUAAUGAUCACAGGAAACUCUGGAUUAUUGUUUAGGAAAGCAUAGAUAAUACCGGGUGGUAAAGUUUUAAGCUCUAUGGGGGGUCUAGGUGUUUCUGCAAACUCAUCUAAGGGUUCAGGUUUAGAAGGUUCGGCUUCUUCUUCUAUGAAGAAAGGAGUUUCGUCUUCUAAGUCACAUUCUUCUAAAAGUUCAAGAGAUGCAGCCUUUACCUCCUCCAUAGGAUCAAGCAAAAGAUAUGACUCGGCCUUAUUAUUUAAGAAGUGUGAAAUUGUUAUUGGGAAUUUAAAGGCUUUUUCCAAAAGAAAUGUGUAGCUUUCUAGUAUGACCUUCAUAAAGGAGUCUUCUGAAAGGUUGUCCAAUCAAUAGGUCGAAGUCCCAUGUAUCAAAGAUUUAGAAGUUCAAAUGAACCAUGGAGCCUUCUACCGUAAGAGGUAGGACAUUAAUAAUUCCAAGGCUGGGGACUAAUCGUCCCGAAGAUUCCUUUAUGACCUUUGUUGUGGGGGUUAAGACAAGAUUUUUAAAUAGUUUAAGUGCAAAAGAUUAAGACAUGAUGUUGAUCCCCACAACCGGAUUAUAAAGAGCAUUAAAUCGAUCAGAAUUAUAAGCACAGCGUAUAGUUAUAGAGGGUGUGUCCAAACGGAUCACAUCAGAGGAAAGCUAUGAUUCCUCCAACCAUUCGCUACUCAUGACUGAGAUAAGCUCUCUCAAUUGAUAUUCACUUGGCAAAUAAAUGCUAAACUGGCCGUUUUGGGGUUUGUCAAUAGAAUGGUAGUUUGAAAUGUUUCAAAAAUCGGCAAAAAGAUCGGAUUCUAUAUCCAGCAUGAAGUCCGGUGGUGGAAUUUCUUCCUCUUGUGGCUCAGAACUUGGGAUAGCUAAAGUAGAUGAAGGAUUUGGCAGAGUGUCUACUUCGGCUUUGUAGGUUUCAUCAUGAAGGGUAUUAUCCAUCUCAGCUUCUAGGAUUCUAUCUAGGAUCACUCUAGCUUCAUCAGUAGGGAUGCGAAAGAAAGAAUCUCUAGACAUUGUGUGUAGCAUUUGUUUGUGAUUUUUCUGAAGACCUCAAAAAAAGUGAAAUAAAAGAACAGGGUCUUCAAGAUUAAGGUUUGGACCAGAUUCUAAAAGAUCAGAAAAAUGAUUCCAGGAUUUUCCCAAAGUUUCAUUAUCUUUUUGUUUAAAAGAUAGGACUUCGAGUCUAAGGUCGGCUAUACGGUCGAGGGAAUAGAAAUCUAGACAAAAGUUGGCUCGUAAAGCUCCCCAUUCACCUCGUUGUUGACUUACCUUCUGACUGUACCAUUGUCUAGCUUCUCCCCUUAAAGAAAAAGGAAAAAGCUUCCAAUGUAAAGUUUUAUCAGAAAUGCCUUCAAUGCGAAGACAAUCACAUGUUUGCUCAAAAUCUCUAAUAUGAAGGUAAGGGUUUUCGUCUUCCUUUCUCGAAAAAGAUAGGUUUUGAAUCAUGGCAAUCAACCUAGAACUUAACUUAUACUGGGAUGUUUGGAUAGGCUGUGAUGAUUCCCAUGGUAAAAGGUCAGUUACGGAAGGGAUAGCAGAUUCAUGGAUCGAUUUAGAAUUUUGGUUUUCCAUAAGGUAAGAGUAAAGAAAAUAAAUAAAUAAUAUAAAAGAUAAGAAAAGAUAAAAGUAUAGAUACAAGCUAGUAGUAAGACUUAAGGUAAUCUUAGCAAACCGUCUUUCUCCCCGGCAACGGCGCCAGAAAUGCUUGUUGAUAUUUGAGAACGCAAUAAGGAAUUGAUCCGCAAGCGCAUGGAUAUCGGUGAGCACUUCACCCGGGAGGUUAUCCAGAGUAUCGUAUUUAUUUUUUUUACCACUAGGAGAAAUAGUGCAUCUGACUAACCCGGUCUAUUACUACUAACCCUUUAGGCAACAAAGAAUGUUUCUCGAUGUGAGUGAUAAAUAGAGAAGACUGCAACCGUAGUCUCCUUCUAACCCUUGUAAGGAUGAUCUACUGUUCUAUUGGGGAGGCCAACGGAAUCUAGACACCACAGAGGAUGUUCAACCUGCACCUAUAAACCCUAUCCUUCCUGCUAACGAGAUACGGUCUGCAAAGGUAACUCGGAAAUGUCACGUUCCUCACUACUACCACGGUCUAGUUAGUCAGGGAAUUUUGAUGAGUACCCUAGCCUAAACACCACGUUUAUGCCAGCAAUGAUUACUCUAAACUCUACGCGAAGAGAUUAAAGUAAACUCAUAAACCAAAAGAACAAUAAAACAAGAACUUACUAGAAUUUAGAAGUCGAAAUACUGAAGAAUCCUAGGAGCAAGCCUCGGGUUAGGAGAACUUGAUCCCGCAGGUACAAGCUCGGAGUAGACACCGACAGGCCGGGCUUCCUCCAAUCUACACCUCCACUCUAUCUCUCUCAAUCUAGUAGAAACUAGAAGAUCUAUUUCUACUUACAUUGGUUGCUAAGCCUAAAAAGAAAUUUUAUUUAGAGAAGAGGUUUUCCUUCGAGGGCACCCCUCAACUCUAUGAUAACUUCUUGUCUCCUCCAGGGGCCAGGGGGUCUCUUUAUAUAGUCCUCCUCCUCUUUGCAUUUUUGGGUCGGUAGGCGAUGUGGUACUACGUUAUCCUUGAUCCUUUAGGUCGGUGGAACAACAUGUGCGAAGAGAGUCCUGAUUGGCAUCCAGAGGGGGGCGGGCGCCCAGGUCCUCAAGGCGGGCGCCCUGGGCCUGGCCCCUUUCGGCCUCUGCUUUCUUCCCGUGGCUUCUGGAGUCUUCUAGAUGGUAGAAAAUUGCGCGGUGCGUUGAUAUCUCUAUGUAAUCCUGACAUGUGGGCCUUUCUUCCUUAUUUCCUGAUAACCCCCUGCAGAAACAGAUAAACAACAAACUCGUGGAAUUCUGUCAGAUCAAACCCUAAUUCUAGGUGUUGGUUGCAUAUUGGUCCUUUCUCUUGUUUAUUUGAUAAUUAAAAUUGAUACUUAAGAACCGACAACAGAUAAUAUAUACUUAACUUUCGCUCUUUAAAGUUGUUAAUAAAUAGAGGUAAUAUGUCUACCUAAUUAUAAAACUCUAUCCCUUAACCUUGAAACAUAUAUAUUCUAAUAUUCAAAAUUUAUAUAUAUUUUGGCAGAUGGCUCGUACCCACCAGACAGCUCGCAAAUCAACUGGAGGUCGUGUCCCAAGGCACCAGUUGGCACCAAGGGAUCCGCCACCCUCCGACAGCAGCGACAGCAGCAAUGAUUAUUCCAGCGACGGAAGCGGGAGUGACACUAGAGGAGGUCCUCCUUCUCCAAGGACCUACAGGCACAUGAAGCAUGAUAUGCGUGUGAUGCUCACUGACAACAUCCAUCUGGAAGUUCGUCUGGACCACCUGGAGGGGUAUGUGGCCAAUCUUGAGGCCUAUACCAACACCCUCCAUGAGGAGGUGCACCUGCUGCAUAAUGCCCUCAACCCACACGAGGUUCCUGAAGCAGCAGAGGAAGAACCAGUUGUCAUCCAAGUGGAUAGUGACACUUCUGAGGAUGAAGCAGUGGAGCCGUAAAUUCCAGCUCCAGAUGAGGAUGGUAACGGAAGUGGAUCGGACAUGAACGAUGACUAGGGGUUGAAUAGGCAAGAAAUGUAACAUAGUGUGAUCUUCUGACUUUGUAACUUAGUUAGUCAGAACACCUCUAGUAUGGUUAGUUGUGUAAAAUAGUGGUUUCGAUAGUCCUGCCCAAGAGCAGACUUGUAUGAUAAAUAAAAUGAACAUCUUAUGCAUGUCAUGAUGUAUGAUGGUUAAGUAAGAAUGUUAAUCAAAGUAUGGUUUGUUUUAAACAGAUGCCUGCUAACACACGUGGAGCUAGUUCUUCUCAUGGUGGGGAUGAUUUCCCUAAUGCACCACCAGUUCCACCCUCUUUGGCUGAUGCAAUUGCAGCAUUGGUCAAUGCAACAACUCAGUUAGCACAGAACCAGAAUGUUGGUCAGCGUGGACGUGGUCGAAACAACAGAGAAGAAACCACAUAUGUUGACUUCAUAGAUACACGUCCUCCGGUGUUCACAAAAGCUGAUGAACCUCUUGAAGCUGAUGAUUGGCUCCGCACCAUGGAGCAAAAGUUCAGUCUCAUCAACUGUACUGAGACCCAGAAGCUAGCUUUUGCAGCUCAGCAGCUGAGACAAGCCGCAGGGGUUUGGUGGGCAAACCUACUGGCUGUUCAACCAGCCGGCCACCGAAUCACUUGGGCAGAAUUCAAGGAAGCCUUCAGGGCUCAUUACAUUCCCGAUGAAGUUAUGAAGAUGAAGCUUGAGGAGUUCUUAGCUCUCCGUCAGGGGGAUGAGCCAGUCAUGCAGUAUAUUGGGAAGUUUAAUCAUCUAUCCCAAUAUGCAAUUGAUCAAGUCAACACUGAUGAAAAGUAUAAGGCAUGUUUCAUGAGGGGCUUGAAUACAAAGCUCCAAUCAAUGAUGGCAUCAUGUGGCAAUAUAUCUUAUCAUGAGGCAGUGAACGUUGCUAUAUCCAGUGAAGAAAAGAACCACAAGCAUAACGAGGCUAAGAAGAAGAAAGGGAUUGUCUCAGGGUCCGGAUCAUCUGGCGGCAACAAGAAGCGCCAAAGGCUCGUAUAUCAUCCAGCUCUGCAGUUCCGCCCAUCUUAUCGUCCUUCUUAUUGUCUGCCUUAGCAGUAGAAUAUGCAGAGGAGUUUUGCAAGGCCAGCAAUGCCAUUCAUUGUUCAACGUCAGCCAAAUGUUCCUGCCAUCCGUCCGCCAGUGCCACAAGCUGCAAACAAUCCUUGUUUCAAUUGUGGGAAGAGUGGGCAUUUCGUUCGUGAUUGCCCAUACCCAAGGCAAAAUGUUCCAAAUGUCAAUGCACCAAGGCCAGUUGGAAAUCAGCAAACAAAUCAGAACAAAGGUAAUGCACAGAACCAUCAGAAGGGUAAGGGUACUUAGAAAACAGGAAGGGUUUUCCACACUCAAACCGAAGCUAUACCUGAAGGAGAACCAGUGAUGCUUGGUAUGUUCCCUGUUGCCCAACUCCCAGCGCUUACACUUUUUGAUUCUGGUGCAUCACAUACUUUCAUGAAUAGAACAUUUGUGGAAAAGCAUAAUAUACCUAUUGGUGCAACCACAGAUGAGUUCUUUAUACAGUCACCUGGGGGUCGACUAUGCACUAAGGAAAUGGUACAUCAGGUACCAAUAGACUUGGGUGGAUAUAUAUUUCCAACAUCCAUGAUAGUAUUAAAAGUGUUCAUAUUUGGGAACACAAUAAGGAAUUGAUCCGCAAGUGCACGGAUAUCGGUGAGCACUUCACCCGGGAAAUUAUCCAGAGUAUCGUAUUUAUUUUUUUACCACUAGGAGAAAAAGUGCAUCUGACUAACCGGUCUAUUACUACUAACCCUUUAGACAACUGUAAUCUCCUUCUAACCUUGGUAAGGAUGAUCUAGUGUUCAAUUGGGGAGGCUAACGGAAUCUAGACACCACAAAGGAUGUUCAACCCGCACCUAUAAACCCUAUCCUUCCUGCUAACGAGAUAUGGUCUGCAAAGGUAACUCGGAAUUGUCACGUUCCUCACUACUACCACGAUCUAGCUAGUUUGGGAAUAUCUCUGAGUACCCCAGCCUAAACACCACGUUUACGCCAGCAGUGAUUACUCUAAACUCUACACGAAGGGAUUAAAGUAAACUCAUAAACCAAAAGAACAAUAAAACAAGAACUUACUAGAAUUUAGAAGUCGAAAUACUGAAGAAUCCUAGGAACAAGCCUCGGGUUAGGAGAACUUGAUCCCGUAGGUACAAGCUCGAAGUAGACACUGACAGGCCGGCCUUCCUCCGAUCCACACCUCCACUCUAUAUCUCUCAAUCUAGUAGAAACUAGAAGAUCUAUUUCUACUUACAUUGGUUGCUAUGCCUAAAAAGAAAUAUUAUUUAGAGAAGAGGUUUUCCUUCGAGGGCACCCCUCAAUCUCUAUGAUAACUUCUUGUCUUCUCCAGGGGCCGGGGGGUCUCCUUAAUAGUCCUCCUCCUCUAUGCGUUUUUGGGUCGGUAGGCGAGGUGGUACUACGUUAUCUUUGAUCCAUUAGGUCGGUGGAACAUCGUGUGCGAAGAGAGUCCUGAACGGAGUACAGGAGGGGGCGGGCGCCCUGGGCCUCAAGGCGGGCGCCCUGGGCCUGGCCCCUUUCGGCCUCUGCCUUCUUCCCGUGGCUUCUGGAUUCUUCUAGAUGGUAGAAAAUCGCGCGGUGCGUUGAUAUAUCUAUGUAAUCCCGACAUGUGGGCCUUUCUUCCUUAUUUCCUGAUAACCCCCUGCAGAAAUAGAUAAACAACAAAACUCCUGGAAUUCUGUCAGAUCAAACCCUAAUUCUAGGUGUUGGUUGCAUAUUGGUCCUUUCUCUUGGUUAUUUGAUAAUUAAAAUUGAUACUUAAGAACCGUCAAUAAAAAGAUCCAAGUAUAGAUGUGAUCUUGGGUAUGAACUGGAUGAACCAGAGAGGUGCAGUCAUAGACACCUUAACUAGAACCAUCAAGGUCGACUUACCUAAUAGCAAGUCUCAACUUCUUAUCCAUCUUCCUACCUUUAAGAGAGCAAUUGAGCAAGUAUGUGCUACCUCUGUCAAGGAAAUCAAGGACAUUCCAGUGGUCUGUGAGUUUCCUGAUGUGUUUCCAGAAGAUUUACCUAGUCUGCCACCUGACCGUGAUGUGGAGUUUGGAAUAGAGCUCAAGCCAGGGACAGCACCAAUAUCCAGAAGAGCUUAUAGAAUGCCACUAAAAGAGUUAGCCGAAUUGAAAACUCAGUUGCAAGAUUUGAUGUUAAAGGUUUCAUCCGACCUAGUUCAUCACCAUGGGGUUGUCCGGCAAUCUUUGUGAAGAAGAAGGACAAUAUCUUGAGGCUAUGUGUGGAUUAUCGUCCCUUGAAUGAAGUAACAAUCAAGAAUAAGUAUCCUUUGCCCCGUAUUGAUCUUCUCUUUGAUCAACUUACUGGUGCUAAGGUGUUCUCGAAGAUAGACUUGAGAUCUGGGUAUCAUCAAAUUAAGAUCAAACGAGAAGAUGUUCUGAAAACACCAUUCACUACCAGAUAUGAUCUGUAUGAAUAUCUAGUUGUGUCCUUUGGUCUAACCAAUGCCCCAGCACAUUUCAUGUACUUGAUGAAUUCAGUGUUCAUGCUAGAGUUAGAUAAUUUCGUGGUUGUAUUCAUUGAUGACAUUCUCAUCUAUUCCAAAACUAAAGAAGAACAUGAAGAGCAUCUCAGGAUAGUGUUGACUCGCCUGAGAGAACAUCAGUUAUAUGCUAAGUUUAGCAAGUGUGAAUUCUGGAUAGAUAAAGUUCAACUUUUGGGUCAUGUCCUGUCAGCUGAAGGUGUUGCAGUAGAUCCAAGCAAAGUUCAGGAAGUUCUUGACUGGAAGUCACCAACUUCAGUACAUCAAGUUUGAAGUUUCUUAGGAUUGGUGGGGUAUUAUCACAGAUUUAUCCCUGACUUCUCCAAGAUCUCUAAACCAAUGACAACACUGCUAAAGAAUGAUACUAAGUUUGUGUGGUCAUCUGAAUAUGAAGAAGCUUUUCAGACUCUAAAAAAGUUGUUGACCACUGCACCAGUGCUAGCUCAACCUGAUAUUGAAAAAUCCUUUGAUGUAUAUUGUGAUGCUUCAGGCAAAGGCAUUGGGUGUGUAAUGAUGCAAGAAGGCAGAGUCAUUGCAUAUGCUUCACGACAACUUAAGCGUCAUGAAGAGCAUUAUCCAACACAUGAUCUAGAGUUGGCAGCUAUAGUCCAUGCUCUGAAGAUCUGGCAACACUAUCUGUUGGGUAAUACUUGUCACAUAUACACUGAUCAUAAGAGCUUGAAAUACAUCUUCACUCAGUCAGAAUUGAAUAUGCGUCAGAGAAGAUGGUUAAAACUGAUAAAAGAUUAUGAUAUUGAAGUACGCUAUCACCCAUGCAAAGCCAAUGUAGUGGCAGAUGCACUCAGUCAAAAGAGUCAUUGCAAUUGUCUGGAAGUCAAGCCUAUAGAUCUUACCUUGUGUCAUGAGUUUGAAAAGUUAAGCCUUGAAAUGAUUCCACAAGGAAGUCUUGCAAAUGUGACAGUUCAAUCAUCUAUCAAAAAUCAGAUUAUUGCAGCUCAGAAAGAAAAUAAGGGUAUGAUCUUCUUGAGAGAAAAGAUUCAGUCUGAGCAGAAUUCCAAGUUCAGAAUAGAUGAAGCUAGAGUGAUUUGGUUCAAGGAUCGUUUAGUAGUUCCAAAAGUUCCUGAACUCAGAAAGCAAAUUCUUGAUGAAGCUCAUGCAACAAGAUUUUCAAUACAUCCAGGCAGUAAUAAGAUGUAUCAUGAUCUGAAACAAAGAUUCUGGUGGACUAAGAUGAAGCUUGAAAUUACUAGUUAUGUGGCUAGAUGUGAUACUUGUCAAAAAGUGAAAGCAGUUCAUCUUAGGUCUGCUGGAGAAUUGCAACCAUUACCAAUUCCAUCUUGGAAAUGGGAUGACAUUAGUAUGGACUUCAUAGUGGGUCUACCCAGAACAUCAAAAGCGUUUGAUUCCAUAUGGGUCAUUGUUGAUCGUCUGACCAAAUCAGCCCAUUUCAUUCCUGUAAGAAAGAAGUAUCGAGCUUCUGUCUAUGCUAAGAUAUACUUUGACAAGAUUGUGAGUUUACAUGGUGUUCCAAAAACUAUCGUAUCUGAUAGAGGGACACAAUUUGUCAAUGUUUUCUGGAGGCACUUACAUAAGUCCCUGGGUACCAAACUUCUGCAUAGUACAGCUUAUCAUCCACAGACUGGGGGUCAGACUGAAAGAGUCAAUCAGAUCUUAGAAGAUAUGUUAAGAUCUUGUGUGCUCAGUUUUUUAGAGAAGUGGGAUGAAUGUUUGCCUUUAGCAGAAUUCUCUUACAAUAAUAGUUAUCAAGAAAGCAUUAAGACGGCACCAUUUGAAGCUCUGUAUGGCAGAAGGUGCAGAACACCUUUGAAUUGGUCUGAACCUAGAGAGCGUAGUCUCUUCGGGGUUAAAUUAGUCAAAGAAGCUGAAGAGAAAGUCAGGCUCAUUCGAGAGAAUAUGAAGAUAGCACAAUCCAGGCAAAAGAGUUAUGCUGAUAAGAGACGUCGAUCUCUUACCUUUGAGGUUGGUGAUUAUGUAUACCUCAAAGUGUCACCUAUGAAAGGAGUCACUCGAUUUGGAGUAAAAGGGAAGUUGGCACCUCGAUGUAUAGGUCCAUAUCAAAUCCUUGAAAGAUAUGGAAAGGUGGCAUAUCUUAUCGAGUUACCACCACAGUUAUCAUCAGUUCACAAUGUGUUGCAUGUCUCUCAGUUGAAGAAAUGCCUUCAAGUGCCUGAUCAUGUCAUUCAUGUUGAAGAGAUUGAGUUAGAGCCUGAUCUGACAUAUUCAGAGUAUCCUAUCAAGAUUCUGGAUCAAAAAGAUCGAGUCACUCAUAAAAGAACUGUCAAAUUCUACAAAGUGCAAUGGAAUCAACAUACCGAAGAUGAAGCCACAUGGGAGUUAGAAGAGUUUCUCUUAGAAUGUUUUCCUGAGUUUCUUUCUUCUGUCUUAUCCUUGUAAUCUGUAAUAUGAUGACCUAUCUUCUGCUUUUUGUAAAAGUUGGUAAUGGAAGUGCUUGUCAAAUUUCCUUUUCCAUUAGUUAGCCUACAAGUUAAAUCUCGGGACGAGAUUUCUUUAAGGGGGAAAUAGCUGUAACACUCUGGUGUUAAGCAGACUAAAACCUGACAUGUCAUCAUAUGCACUGGCAUUUCAUCUGAGUUGAUAACCUGAAUAUGCAUUCACUACAAACAAGUUUAAUUUCUCAUGCUUGUGCUUAGGGAAAUUAAAAUGUGCUUGCAAGGUGUAUUGAAGCUAGUGUGGUAGGUUUCCGAGAAAAUAGGGGUGGAGAACCCUGAAUUUUUUUAAACCCUGGAUUUGCCCCUCUGGUGCAAUUUAAAAACUAAGCAAAAUUUGAGGUUGAGUUCAAAAGCAAAGUUGUAGAUCUUGUCAAGAUGUACAACUUUGGUGUUUCGAGUUUUUGAAGUUUCAAUACAAAAUUCAAAGUAAUUUUGAAAAUACAGAUUUCCAAUAAUUAUCCCCUUUUCCAUUUUGAAUCUCCAAUUCAAAAUCUAUUUGAAAUCUUGAAAAGUGAACAACAUGAAAGUUGUAGAGCUCACCAAGAGGAACAACUUUCAUUUUGGGAAUUUUUCAAGUUAUUGAGAAAAAUCAAAAGUAAUUUUAAAAUUUCUAAUUUGCCCCAAUUCAAAAUUGGAAUUUCCCCAAUUUGAGAUUUGAAAUUCAAACUGUUUUGCUAAAUUCAAGUUUUUCCAUCUCACCAGUGCACCGUGUCCGCUUCGCCCACGACCCAGCUACUUCCUGGACCCCUCACCCCGCGCUCUAACCCCUUGAAGCUCCUAGUCGAGCCGUUCUUCCCCAGCUCCGGCCAUGUUCCGCCAUGAGCACCCUUCCUCGUGGCCAGACCGCUCCGUAAGGUAUUAAGCCGAGGUGAGAGAUGUUGGAGCUUCGCCGUGCUGUCCUGUAACUCAUGCGCUUUCUCUUUUUCCCUAGACGCAAGCAGGAUCACCAGAACGACCUCGCUGAGCUCGGAGCGCCCGCUCGACGGCACCGCCUCCGUCGCCAGCAGCCUCGGCUACCUCCCCGAGCCCCGCAACGUGAGCACCACACCCUCUAAUAUUCUUGGAAGCUCGCUAGCAUGUUCGUUUGCGCUCUACCGAGCCCUAGCGGGCGGUCUACGGGUGACCGCCACGGCCGUCCGCCAUCCGUGUAGCCAAGGAAGAAAGAAGAGGGUAGAGCGUCCGCGAGUGAUAGCUAUGGAGUCGCGAGGUCGAUGCGGAGCUGUUGCGCACCCUAGCGCGGGCUCAGACCUCGCUAGCGGUGGCCGGAGUUGCGGCAGAGCCGCCGCGCGCGAGGAAGGAAGAGCUGACGGGUGGGGCUACCCCGUCAGCGACCUGCAGAGAGGAGAGAGAGCGGGUUCAGCAGGUGGACCGGCGUGGGCCGAGGUUAGGCGGGCCGGCCACUUUAGCACAGUGCGGUUUUCCCUUUUCUUUUUUGUUCAAAAUUGCAUGAUGUUUGAAUUUAUGUAGAAAACUGUUUGCUGAUCUAAAAAUGAUAAAAAUAUUUGUGUAGGUUCUAUAAAAUGAGUAGAACACAGGAAAAGUAUUAGAUUCUAUUUUCUGGUAGCUUGCAUGUAUAUAAAAAUUUCCUCUUUUCAUUAAUAAAUAAACCUUCCAUGAAUUUUAAUAAUUUAUGGGUAUAUCCAAAAAUCACCAAAAUUUGUGAGAAGUCUCUGAGUAUUAUUCCCUGGCCUCACACAAAGUUUGGUAUCAUCUGGAUAAAGUUUGAAUAAAAUCAUAUUAUACCCUUAAUUAAUAAUUUAGUAAUAAUUCCAAAAUAAUUAAGUAUUAAUUAGCUUAAUUUCUCAAAUUAGGGUUUGAGUGACUUUGGGAUUAUAUGAUGACCUAAGGUCAUUAACCUUAAUGACCUUUGGCACUUAAUUAUUGUUUGAUGUUAAUACUUAAUUACUGCCAUUAAUAUUUAAUUAAGAAUUGAUUAAGAUAAAUAGAAAGCCUAAUCAUUUUAGGUUUUGAUUGAUCUUUGGGAUUGAUUGACAACCAGUGGUUACUUGGCAUGACAUGCUCCUUGGUUAAGGAUUCAUUCAUGUAAAUGAUCUUUGUUGCUUAAUAACUUCACAACAUUGCUUAAUGAAGAUGAUAAAAUUUGCUUAGUAGUAAUCUAUGCUUUGAUAACUAAGUUUGUUUCUAUACCAUGAAGGUAAGUUGUACUCGAGGUAGUUAUGUUUGUUGUUAUCAUCCAAGAACAUGUAACCUGUCUUUAUCAGGUCAUGAGUAUCUCAUUGAUCAUGCAUAUGCACUUCUACGUGUAGACUACGCUCCGGAGGAAUCUGAUCCUCAGUGGGUUGCUUCUGAGUUUGUAGAUCCAUCUGUUUUUCCUGGUAUUUCUAAGUUAUCGGACUUCCCUUCCCACGAAGGCAAGCCCCGGACAUUAAACCCCAUCCUUGUAUUUUCAUAAAGUUAUUUAUAUCAUUUGAGUUAAUAUGAUACAUUAGGUGAAUAGGAUUUGGGUGUAUCCUAUUUGCUGCAUUACUUACCUUGAUGAUUCCAAUAUUAACCUUGACACCUGUUUUAUGAAAAUGCUUAGUAUGCUUAAUCAUGCUUUACUUAAUUAAUGAUAGUAGGUGUUUUUAAAAUGGUUCAUAUGUUAUGACAAUGACGAAUCUUGGGAUAACAUGAUAAUUAUAGUAACUUACUUCAAGAAUGGAGUCUUGUUGUAAUGUUACUCAACAUAGGACCAUAUCGUUGUUGGCCUGCUGUGAUUGAGACCUUUGAGUACAGCCCACAUGCGGUGGUAAGCCUUACCUAUAGCUAUUCCGAUACUUCAGAACGGCCAACCGCGUACUGGGAGUGGAGAGAUGGCGGGAGUAGCGUGUACCCACCUUACGAAGCUGAGAUGACCGGGAAACAUCUAGAUUGGCUGUAGGAUGGUGGUGUACUGUACUCUCGGGUGACGCUCGACCCGUUCUUGUAUGGGAGGAUCUAUAGAAACAGGUUGACAUAUGCAAGAUUAAGUUCUACAUAUGUCGUGUGAUACUGAAUCCCCAGCUGGGUUUAAUCGAUUCGAACCGCCAUGUUUCCUCGGAUAUGGAGCCUCAGUCCUCACCCCAUCACCGUAGUAAUAAAUGGAUCUUUGGUAUAAGAAAGAUGUGGUAUGCUUAUGAAAGUUUGAUAAUAAUUUUGGUUAGUCAUAAAUGAUGAUCUUGAGUUAAAACGUGAAAGUAGGUUUUACUCUUAGUAAGCUUUUAUGCAAAAGAAAUGCUUUCGAUCUUGCUAAAGCCUUAACUUGAAUCCCUAUAGCCUGCAUACCUGAGUCUUCACCUCUUUUCUAGUUGGUUAAGUCUUGUUGAGUACUUUUGUACUCAGGGUUUGUUAACCCCUGUUGCAGGUGAACCUUUUGAUCAGCCUUUUGAUGGUCAUUGUUACUUCACUCUUGUGGAAGAGAGUGAUGAUGAUGAAUCUGAUGUGUGACCUUGGGUAAGUAAAACAAGUUGUAUGCUUAUGGUAUAUGUAAUAUAAAGUUCCGAACCUUUUAUGUACUAAAUACAUAUGGUUUGUAACCUUUGGACUUAUGUUUCAAUCUAUGUUAUAUAACCUUUCCGCUUUUACUCUGAUUUAUCUCAUCUAUGAAAAUGUUGUCAUACUGUGAUGCUUAAUGAGGGAAUUCUUGGAAAGAAUGUAACGUGGAUGAUUCGGGUUUACCAAGGACACCCGACAAAUUUCUUGAGUCAUUUGGAACUCGUGCACGCCGAUCAGAAGUCUUUGAGACAAUGAUGGGUGCAUGUGGGCCACUUAAUUCAGGAGGUUCUGCCACAUGAACUGCGGAUGAACAGGAGUGUAGUAAAAAUACAGGAGAGAAGUAGAAUUGACCUCAGGCACGAUGAAGUUGAUGGCCAUCUCCUAGUAGGGGAGGAGAUUGAGAACUUGGGGGUUGUUGGAGGAGGUUCUUGUUGAAGUUCUUGGAGCUCUCGAACAGUGCUGCCGCCAGAAAAGCAGAGUUGGGGCUAUAGAAUGAUGCGAUGGAGAAGGAGUACCCGAGAAGGAACUAUUUAUAGGACAAAACAGGCAGGGGCAAAUCUGACUUAUCUCUUCGCCGUAUCUUUGAAAUCCGAGGAUACUCAGGUGAAUAUGGUAACUGUUCGCACGGUAAUCAAGGGAUUGCGCAGGUGAUUUGAUGGGAAGCGGUCAUAAUCUGGAGAUAUUUUACUGUGCGGGAUUUCCUGGUCGGUCCAUCGGCAGCUCCUUCUAACGGUAAUAUUGCCGAUGGGCGAAUAAAGUGGAGAUGUCCAGUUUGGGAGGUUGAGGAAUUCGAGGAAUCUGCGGAACAAUCAGGCCAGUGUUGUUCGAUUUCAACGGUCGGUUACCAAAUUGAGAGGAUUAAUUGCGGAAAGGCAUCAUUACUGUAGAGAAUUUCAGAGCAUUAAUGAUUUUAUACUCCGAAAUUGGGGGGCAUGUGUUGACACCGUUUUUGGACACGUACCCAGGAUCGGUAGAGUAUAGAAUGGCAAGAUAGGGCAACAGUAACUGGUCUGCAGGGGAGUUGCCGAUGAAGGUGGUUGUCGAUGAAGGGACACCUGAAUAUGACUAAGUCCAUGAGUGGUGACGCGUUCAUGACGAUGGUCAGCGUUAGCCUUUGUCGAUGGCUACGAUCAGGAGUCUGCCGAUGACUCAGAAGGAGAACAUGAAGGUUGCCGAUUGGUCCAUGGUGGUGUCCCGGUUUGUCACGGGAGGAUAGUUUUGUUCUUUCCUUAGUUAUUUAAAUCGUUUUAUAUGCGAAUUCUAUUUAAUUUAGAAUUCGAGUCCUAGUCGUGUCUGAUUGUAGCUCUUUGAGCAGGGUAUAAAUGUAGACCCUAGGGCCUUGUAAUGAUCUAUCUAUCAAUCAAUCAAACACAAGUUUUUACUCAUAUUCCAACAUCUACUUUUUCGACAAUUUCGUCAUAUUUUACUUUUCAUUACGAGUUCUUAGGAGUUCGUCGACUUAAGCUCGGCGUAUUCUCGAGUUCCGCGUGAAUACCUCUUGGCCGUGGCAUCCGGGCGCAUCGCUGUUGUCGGGACCAAAGUAUUCGAGUUAUCACCUUUGCCGAUAGUAAGGUCAAAUCUGCUGGCACGCCUUAACGUUUGAAUCAGGUAUUAGCCCUUUGUGUUUGCAGAUCCACUUUUUUGCAGCAACAUAAGUAAAGGACUAAAAACACGAAUUUUACCAGACAAAUUAGAUAUAAACUGCCUGAUAAAAUUUACCUUGCCGAUCAAAGACUGGAGAUCAGUUCUGUUGGUAGGAGCAACUAUCUUAUUGAUGGCAUCAAUAGAUCUCCUACUAAUUUCAAUUCCUCUCUAAUGCACCAUGAAACCAAGAAAUUGCCCUGCCGAUACACCAAAUGCACACUUGUUAGGAUUCAUCUUUAAACCAUGUUUCCUUGUGCACUCCAACACCUUUCGCAGAUCGGCAAGAUGCUUUGUGAAAUCCCUAGACUUAACCACUACAUCAUCAAUGUAAAUUUCUACCAACUUGCCGAUGAACUCAUGAAAAAUAAAAUUCAUAGCCCUCUGAUAAGUAGCCCCAGCAUUUUUUAAGCCAAAGGUCAUGACUAUCCAUUGAAACAACCCAACAUGACCAGGACAUCUAAAUGCGGUCUUUGGAAUAUCUUCUUCAGCCAUGAAUAUCUGAUUAUAUCCUGCAUUGCCAUCCAUAAAGGUAAUGAUCCGAUGUCCAGCCGCAACAUCAACUAGCAAAUCGGCAACUGGCAUUGGAUAACCAUCCAUCGGCGUAGCCUUGUUAAGAUUCCUGAAAUCAAUGCAAACUCGAAGCUUCCCAUUUUUCUUGUAAACUGGACCGACAUUGGAAAUCCACUCGGCAUACCGACACUGCCGAAGAAAUUUAGCUUCGAUAAGUUUAGUUAUUUCAGCCUUAAUAUCAGGAAGAAUAUUAGGAUUACAUCGGCGAGCUGGCUGUGAUGUGGCCAAAAUCUAGACUUGAUAGGUAAGCAAUGUUCAACGAUCGAUCGGUCUAAACCAGGCAUCUCAGUAUAAUCCCAAGGAAAGCAAUCCUUAUAUGCCUUUGACAAAUUGGUUAACUGUUGCUUACACUCAGAAUCUAACUUAGCACUAAUAAACGUAGGUCUUGGCUUAUCACCAUCACCUAUAUCUACUUCUACUAAAUCAUCGGCCGAUGUAAACCCCUGGCCUAAUUUUCCAUCAUGAGCGAACCUAUCCAUUAAAACUCCUCAUCAGAACCGACUGCUUGGAUCGGUGGAAUUUCAUAAUCGGCAACCUUGAGGAAAUCCUUCUCCCAAAUUUCUCCUGAGAUGCACCAGGUCCUCUCAUAAGUAUCUGCCUCUGCCGAUGCAAUGACAUACGGAGAAUCUCAUGGGACAAUUUCAAUCUUGUCGCCUACCCACUGAACCAAACACUAGUGCAUAGUAGAUGGGAUGCAACAAUUGGCAUGAAUCCAAUCUCUCCCCAACAGUAGGUUAUAAGUGUUGACACUUGUUAAUACCACUUGAAUACUAGGUUGUUAUCCCCAGCAUGGCACUAGAGUGUACUAUGGUAUUUAUACGCACACAGAUAAAUCCGCAAGCGCACGGAUACCGUUGUAGCUUUUAUCUGGUUAAAGGUUUUAUCGUAUCCACAGGGAAAUGGAAGAACUGAUCUACGCUCUAACUUAACCUAGAUAGAUAAGUAGGUGUAAAUAGGAAAAAUGGUAGAAUUGAAUAAGAACAAUAUUAAAGGUAAGAUAACAAUGGGUGAUAAUAUAGGAAUAGAUAGUAGAGCAAUCUAGUAUAUGGUGAUGGUAGGAGAAUAAAGAGGAUAACUAUGGUUUCUCUACUUCAAAGGGGUAUGUCUAUGUCUGGGACGAACCACAUGAUAAGAAUACAUCACAAAGGAUGCUUAUCCAUAGGCCGAUAAACCCUACCCAUCCUGCUAACAGGAGGUGGACUAUAGGGGACCAACGUAACUGUCACCUACACGGCGUACCACACGAUCCAGCUAGACAGGGGAUAUCCACAAGUAAUCUAGGUCUAAGCACCACGCUUACACCUAUACUACAACUCUCACCUAUAGCGUCCUAUAGAUUAAAGUACUCAAAAGAGUUGUGAACCAUAACAUACAUGGAUAGUAAUUGCAUAAUGAAAUAGAAGUAGAUUACUAGAGUCAUCCCAUGAGCAAGCAUGAUUAGAAAUUGAUCAUGGCGAAGUACAACCGGAGGAAGAACCGACAGGCCGGCCUCUCCUCCAAUCCUCCCUCGCUCUCCAUCUCGCUACUAUCUAGAUCUACUCUAGUUUAUAGAAGAGAAGAGAGCUCUCAUCUCCAGACCCUAGCUUUUGCUUUGUCUAUGAAUAAUGAAUAAGGAUCAAGGGGUGCCUCCUCUAGGGGCCAGGGGGUCUGCUUAUAUAGUCCCCUCAAGUGAAUCUGGGCCAUCGGAUCAAACCGACAUUAAACGCAUGAUUUUCCUUAAUCCUUUAGGUCAGUGGAGCAUAAUCCGCGAGACGGAACCCGAUUGGUUCCUGUAGCUGGGUGGGCGCCCUGCCCCCGAGCCCGCUCGGCUUCCCGUUCGUUUCCGUGGCUUCUAGAGUCUUCUCGAUGAUAGAAAAUUGCGCGGCAUGUUAAUAUCUCUAUGUAAACCUGACGUGUGGGCCUUUCCUCCAUAUUUCAUGAUAACCCCAUGCAGAAAUAGACAAACACCAAAACUCGUGGAAUUCUGUCAGAUAAAACCCUAAGUCCGGGUGUUGGUUGCAUUUGGAUCCAUUUUUUUAUUUAUUUGAUGAUUAUAUUUGGUACUUAAGGACCGUCAACAACUCCCCCAAGCUUACCUCUUGCUCGUCCCUGAGCAAGGAUGGACUCAAGAGUUUCUACAGUGGUUUUAUGCCUUAAAAGUACAUAUGCGUUCAAGCAAGAUCUCAUCUCUGAGUUAGAGUAAACUGUUAAGACUUAAACUUACUCAUUUUACCUUUCACCAUGGGGCUUGCAACCGUCACUUAUGUCUUGAGCAGUUAAAAGAUAGAAUGGUCAAGUCAAGCGCCAUGUCUCUUGUUCUUUGAUCAACUAUAGCUCUGGAGUUUUUGCAGAUUUUCAAAAUAAAACUCAGAGAUUCCUUGUAUGACUCUCUCAAUUCUCUCUUUUGUGGUAUUUUUGGAUCCUUACCAAGGCAGUAAUGGUAUAUGCCUUCUCUCAAAGUAUGUGGUAUUUUUGGUAUGAGGCAUAGUGACAUUGCUUUCUCUCUCACCCUACUCUAAUAAGGUUUUGAUAUCUGGAGCUCAUAGGUGGGAGACAGCUAAUACAUAUUUACAAAGACAUUUAUUGCAUAGUCAAACCAUGGAUCCAGAGAAACAAGUCAAUAAGUCAAUAUCAAGAUGUGCAUGUGUGGCGAAUGAAUGGUGUAUGGUGAUGAUGGUGAUAAUGGUGAAAACAAUGGUGAAAGUCUAAUUCUACUUUUGCUCUUUUGAGGGGAUACAUACCUUUCUUGCAUUUUUAAGCUUUUUGAGGGGAAUGAGAUGCUCUAUAUUUUCUUGUUUUUUUCUCAGGUAGGUAUCUUGUACCCCUAAUUCUACUGUCGGACACUUGUCAAUUUUUACCUCUCGUCUCACUUUUUUCUUUUCUUCGAUGUUCCGGGCACUUGCCCCUUUCUAUUUCCUCGUAUUCACUCUCUCUCUUUUUUCAGAGCACUCACCCUCCUGGAAUAAUGUAGCAUGUGGUAGUAACCAAAAUAUCUCGAGCAUUUAUUUCUAGGGGAAUAACAGGGAUAGGAUAAUGUUUUUGGCUAUUCUCUCCUAGAUAGGAGUAAAAUAAUUUUGGGUAAAUCUAGAGAUGGAAAUGAGUGGAUGUAUGUGGAUGCAUACUUUCGGAGUAGAAGCAGCAUGUAUGAGUGAACGUGCAAGUGAGUCUUGAUUUUAACCGCAUGACAAGCUCCUAAGGGUCUACAUAGUUUGACCACACUCAAUGCUCAUAAGCAAUAAAAAGUAAAUGUAUCGUUCAUAGUCUAAUAAGCAUGUAUAUGUGGCUGUGGUAGGAUUUUAAACUCUCAUCAUACAGGAACUCAUCAUGCAACAUUUUAAAGAUUUUCAAAGAUAAGAUUCUCCAUAAUUCUAGCAUCUCUAGGAACAGAUAAAUAGCAGCUCAAUCUUCCCAUAUCGUAUUCGUUAACGACUUAGACUUUAGAUCAAGUACUCUUCCCACAAGUUCAGGUUUAGAGCAAAUCUUAAUUCAUAACAGUCAUGCCUAAACUUGUGAGAGAUUUCAAUUUUGGGAACUAGGCAGAGCAACUAUUCAUUAUUUCCAUGUGAGAGCUUAUCAUAAGAGUUCAUAGCAAACUUUAUUUAUUUAUUUAUGUAUUUAGCAAACUAAGCAACGAUAUAUAUAUAAGCACAAAAAUCUUUAUUUGGGUUUUUAUGAUUAUGCAUCCUUUUAUUAUUUGAGUAAAGUAUAAACGCGAGUAGAAACACUUAGCUGGGUAAAUGGGGGUGCUCUCCCCCAAGCUGAAUUUUGAUGUAAUAUCUUCUGAUGUAGCUAGCAGGUGGCGGAGGCGUAUUUGAAUGUCGGCAGCACCCUGACAGCGAUUAGGAUGUCCUCCGUCAGCUAGUCUUCUUUGAUCCUUGAAUUCUGUGGAGCUCAAAUAGACAACAAAGCUUUGUGGAACUAGUUAAGUGUUAACAAAAAUAUCUAACCUUUAUCAUGUUGAGCUUCCUCUAAUAAAUAUUACUCUCUUUGGUAGGAUCAUAAAUUUAUUUUUAUAUUUUCAUUUCUAUAGGACAGGAAUAUAUUUAUUUUAUUUUUACACCACCACACUGAAUGUACUUUUGGGUUUUAUGCCACGAGCAUACUCACAAGGGGCUUACUGUUUUAACAUUUUUAAUUUCUUUUCAAGAUAGCAUGAUUAACUGACAAGCUAUUUAUGGAAAGUAAAUAAUUUAAGGGAAAAGAGAAUGUAGAAAGGAUAAAUAUGGAUAACUACAGAUUUUACCUUUCGGUGAGGGUUCAAUGAACAAUACUUCUCACCGUGUUCAUUCUUUAGCUGCGUCUUUUGAUUCAGGUGCGGACUUUGACAUCUGCACCUCUUGAUACAGUGUCACCCAUGUUCUUCGUUUGCCCAGCAGUUCGAAGUGCGGCGUUGGCAGCAUCCUCCUCAGUGUGUUUGCGCUCGUAGAUCCAGGUCCUUCACUUGGUGGAAUCUGGGAGUUGUAAAACUCCUUCCGGUUUUGCUCGAAGUGUACCUGCUCAUAGAGACAAGGCAGAGAUCAAGUGCAUGGGCCCUGUUGGUGGAAAACACCAACAGAACCAAAAGUGUAUUUGUUCUUCUCUAACCUUAAGCAUAGUGAGCAAGACAAAUUUGAUGGAUAAUAAGAUCAUGAGUGUAGUAUUUAAAACAUUUGUCAGAUCAGAUCGCUCAACCUAAUGGAAAGAUAAUCUAUCUAUAUUUAUGUUUUUUUAUAUAUCUUCCAAAGAUUGAGUGUGCAACAUUUUAGCUCAUAUGAUUAGGAGUGUGGGAUCACAAAGGUGGAAGGAUUAAACAUGUUGAAUCGAUUGUGUUGGUUAACCUAGUGUUGUAAAUCAUACACGUUUGUCUCUUUUAUUCAUAUGAACGCCAGAACAAAGGAGAAGCUUAAUAAAGUGAUAGUCAAGUACCUUAAGAUGUUACCUUACAUGAAGAGUGACGGUACAGUAUCACCUUGUGGAAGCUUUCCUUUCUUAGCGGUUGUGCAUCGUGUUUGUGGAACCCUCCAUGGAUCAUCUCUUAUAAGCUACGUCUUCGUUGUGUAAAUUGUUAAACUUGAUGUAUCUCUCUAUUUGUCUCCAAUGUGAGUUUAUCUCAGGACUUCCCUUGUGCUUGUCAUUCAUCCAAUCUUCUUGCUCCAAUCCUGGAAAGGUUAGUGACAAGAAUACCCGAUGGAAUAUUUUUACAAUUAUCCUUAUAUGCUCAAUACACAAGGUAAUGUUGUAAAUAAUUAAAUGCUCAUGUUACAAUCUGAUCAGUGCUUAUUUUAGGACACUAAGCUUGGCCUUGGGAAACCAUCAAUUUAUGUCGGCGAAGUGAUUUCCCUUCCAACGCUGACCUAUAUCAAGAUCAACUCAACGAGAUCUGCAAUAUUUAUUAUAGACAUAUGCAUCGACAACCCCCCUUUUAAUGUUUUUAUAAAUAGAAAGGAAGAGGGGCUUGGAGAUCUCAAAUGUGGUGAUGUUGGAGAGACCAAUAGAUUGGGAAGAUGUUGCAUGUGAGCAUGGAGUAAAUGAAGUGGCUAUGAAAUAAAUUCCAUGCUCAUUAAUGUUAUCUUCGUCUCCAAUCUGAAUGUUCGGAGUUUCUCCUGGAUUGGUCUCACCUAUGUCCUCUUCUGUAGUUGGAUGAAUCUCAUCUUCAAAGGGAGUCAAGAACUCACCAUUUGAAAUUGAGCCAAAGUCAGAAUCCAUUAAGGCUUCUUCCUUAUCCAUCCAUUCUACACAUUCUAGCCAUUUAGAACUCGUGACCAGGAAAGGGGAGGUGUUAGAAUUUUCUAUAUGGCUUAGCUCUCCUUCUAUGACAUUACUUGACAUGUCAUCCUCAUGGUCUUUAUGACUCCUAUGGUUUGAUCGUCUUAAUGGAUUAUUAGGAUCAUCAUGAGACUCAAAAGGAGAGGGAUAAGAGGGGUCUCUAAGGUCAAGGAUGGAUUUAGAAUUUGUGAACAUGGAAGCGGAGCAGAUAGAAUCUUCUAUAUGGUUUAGCUCUCCUUCACUUGAUAUGUCAUCCUUGACUUCUUCAUAACACGAACCAGGACAUUCUCAAAGAGAACCAUUAUUGCAAGGAUUUGAAUUAUCCCUGCUUGAAGGUCUCUUAUGGAACCAAAAGUCUAAACCAUCAGCAACUGAAAGAUUUAAGGUCAGAAUUCCUUCCUCCCUUGGAGAAUUUUGGGGUAUUGAUGGUUUAGGAUCGAUAGAUAAAGUUUGGGAUUGAAGUGGUUGUGAUCUGGCUAUCAAAACUUCUUCUUUUUGUCUAGGAACUGGUUCUUUCUCUUUCUUAGGGAUAUAAAUGCUAGGAAACUUUCCACUCAAUGAAUCAAUUAAAUCCCUAGCUUCACUAGCAGGUAGGUGAUAGAAGGAUCCUCUAGAGGCUGUAUUCAAGGUUUGCUUAUUUUCCCUACUAAGGCCCUCAAAAAAGUGAAUUAGAAGAACUUCUUCUGGAAUAGAAAGCUUUGGGCCAGUGAGAGUAAGGUUAAUGAAGCGGUCCCAUGAUUUGCCAAGAGAUUAUUUUUCCAGUUGUCUAAAAGAAAUAAUCUCACGCCGAAGUUCCGCCACUUUGGAGAUUGGAAAAUAUUUAAAAAGAAAAUUAUUACAUAACUCCUUUCAAUCUCCAUGAACACUCUCUACUUUGAGUUUAUACCAAUGUCUAGCUUUUCCUGUUAAAGAGAACGGAAAGAGCUUCCGUAUAAGGGUCUCAUCGGACAUGCCUUCUAUGCGAAGGAGGUAACAAACUCGAUAAAACUCUCUUAGGUGUGUGUAUGGAUUUUCUUCACCUUCUCCUGAGAAAGGUUGUUUUUGAACAAAUUCUAUGUAUUCGGGGUCUAUCUCAAAACUAGAUGCUAUGAUAGGCUUUGAAGAUUUUGGUGGUUCGAGAUGUAUGCCCGUAGGUCUAUGAAACUGAUAGAUAGACAUGUUUGCAUUCAUGAUAGACCAGAGAUCAAGGAUUAGAUAAGAAGAAAGAAUAGCAGAGAUAAGGCAAAAGAUAAAAGGAAAAGUAUAUUUUUUCUUAUUUUUUUUAGAAAAAUGAUUAAGCUAGUUCAUAGUCAACUCAGCAACCGUUUCCCCGGCAACGGCGCCAAAAAUGCUUGCUGACACUUGCUAAUACCACUUGAAUACUAGGUUGUCAUCCCCAGCAUGGCACUAGAGUGUACUAUAGUAUUUAUACGCACACAGAUAAAUCCACAAGUGCAUGGAUACCGUUGUAGCUUUUACCCGGUUAAAGGUUUUAUCGUAUCCAUAGGGAAACACGCUCUAACUUAACCUAGAUAGAUAAGUAGGUGUAAAAAGGAAAGAUGGUAGAAUUGAAUAAGAACAAUAUUAAAGGUAAGAUAACAAUGGGUGAUAAUAUAGGAAUAGAUAGUAGAGCAAUCUAGUAUAUGGGCGAUGGUAGGAGAAUAAAGAGAAUAACUAUGGUUUCUCUACUUCAAAGGGGUAUGUCCAUGUCUGGGACGAACCACGUCAUAAGAAUACAUCACAAAGGAUGCUUAUCCAUAGGCCGAUAAACCCUAACCGUCCAGCUAACAGGAGGUGGACUACAGGGGACCAACGUAACUGUCACCUACGCGGCCUACCACACGAUCCAGCUAGACAGGGGAUAUCCACAAGUAAUCUAGGUCUAAGCACCACGCUUACACCUAUACUACAACUCUCACCUAUAGCGUCCUAUAGAUUAAAGUACUCAAAAGAGUUGUGAACCAGAACAUACAUGGAUAGUAAUUGCAUAAUGAAAUAGAAGUAGAUUACCAGAGUCAUCCCAUGAACAAGCUUGAUUAGAACUUGAUCAUGGUGAAGUACAACCGGAGGAAGAACUGACAGGCCGGCCUUGUUGGGUAUUCUUAACAUCAUUACCAAAAGUAGACUUAGUUUUCUAAUUCUGAUAACGGUGCCAAAAAUGCCAAACCUAUCUCUCAUACCACUUAAGCCAAGUUGUCAUCCCCAGCAUGACAUGAGAGACGCGGUAUUGAAAUAUGCAGUUGCUCUUCUAAAUAAAUAAUGAAUGGGAUCUGCAAGCGCACAGAUUAAUACCGAUGUAGCAGUUUAACCGGGAAGUAUUCGAGGUAUCGUUAUUUAUAUUUUUACCACUGGGAAGGGAUUAGUAACCAUCAAUGUUGAUUAUAGAAUAGAAUAUGAGAUUGAGUAUCUAUCAUUGCAUGUAUAAUUGAGAACAUUUAUCUAACUUUUCAUACAGGGAUAAGUGUCACAUAAAAGAUAUAUGAAAUAAUGAAUAGUGAGAAAGAUAACUAAUCUGAUCAGCAUAACUUAGCCACAUAUAAAUAUGAUAAGCACCUCAAUUAGAUAUUCUAGCAAGUCAUUAGCAUCGUAUUAGAAUGAACUACAAGAAUAUUUCCUAAGUUAUUCUCAACUAUAUAGUCUAGCAUUAUCAUAGUUAGUGCAAGCAUACUUAGCAAUCAUUGCAAGACAAGACUACGCCCAUGCAUAGUGAUAUUAGUAAGGAAUAUGAGAAACAUAGCAAUCACUCCCCUGUAAUAAUGUUGCUCUGCCAGCCCAAUACAUCAGAGGGGGACUAUAUAAGAAUCAAUGAAGUUGUCACUAUCACGAACUACCCCACGAUCUGGCAUAUUGGGUACAAUCGCAGAUAAAUAUGGUAUAAGCACCACACCUACACAAUAUCUAACAUUUACCCAUGGAUCCGAUGGAUAAACGCUAUACGAUCCUAAACAUAUAUAUAGAUCAAAUCUAACUAUGCCAAGUAUAUAACUAUGAUAAACUAAGAACAAUAUAAUCUUGAAUAUAAACAAGUAGAGCAAAGUCAUAAGCAAUAUAUUGAAGUAGAACAAAGUCAUAUUCAUAAUAUUGAAGAACAAAGAUGAAUAAUUAGAAGAACAAUUAAAGAAUUACCAAGAAUCCUCUUGACAGAUCCGGAAACCAAUCGAAGAUUGACUCCUAGUUCUAAUCCUAUGUAGCUAUGCUAAUCUAGAUGUCUAAUUGAUGUGGUGUCUCUAAUCUUGAUCAGAGGCUUCUUCUCCCUUGAGGAAUAAUGAAUUAGGGUUGAGAGGCUCUCUCCUCCAGGGGCCAGGGGGUCUGGUUUUAUAGUCCCUUCAAGUGAAUAUGGGCCGUUGGAUCAAACCGACAUUGAUUGAACGGUUAUCCUUGAUCCUUUAGGUCGGUAGAGAUUUAUCCCGAAAGAGAGUCCUGUUUGGACUCCAGGAGGGGGCGGGCGCCCAGGUCAACUGGGCCCAGGGCCUAGCUCCGUUCGGCCUCCGCUUCCUUCCCGUGGCUUCUGGAGUCUUCUAGAUGUAAGAUAAUUGUGCAGCACGUUGAUAUCUCUAUGUAAUCCCGACGUGUGGGCCUUUCUUCCGUAUUUCCUGAUAACCCCCUGAAGAAAUAGACAAACACCAAAACUCAUGGAAUUCUGUCAGAUAAAACCCUAAGUCUAGAUGUUUAUUUCAUUUGGAUCCCUUUCUUUGUUUAUUUGAUAAUUCAAUUUGAUACUUAUGGACCGUCAACAGGCCUCUCCUCCAAUCCUCCCUCGCUCUCCAUCUCGCUACUAUCUAGAUCUACUCUAGUUUAGAGAAGAGAGGAGAGCUCUCAUCUCCAAACCCUAGCUUUUGCUCUAUCUAUGAAUAAUGAAUAAGGAUCAAGGGGUACCUCCUCCAGGGGCUAGGGGGUCUGCUUAUAUAGUCCCCUCAAGUGAAUAUAGGCUGUCGGAUCAAACCGACAUUAAUCGCACGGUUUUCCUUAAUCCUUUAGGUCGGUGGAGCAUAAUCCGUGCGACGGAAACUGAUUGGUUCCUGUAGCUGGGCAGGCGCGCAAGGGGGGAGGGCGGGCGCCCUGCCCCCAAGCCCGCUCGGCUUCCCGUUCGUUCCCGUGGCUUCUAGAGUCUUCCAGAUGAUAGAAAAUUGCGCGACACGUUAAUAUCUCUAUGUAAACCCGACGUGUGGGCCUUUCCUCCAUAUUUCCUGAUAACCCCCUGCAGAAAUAGACAAACACCAAAACUCAUCGAAUACUGUCAGAUAAAACCCUAAGUUCGGGUGUUGGUUGCAUUUGGAUCCGUUUCUUUAUUUAUUUGAUGAUUAUAUUUGGUACUUAAGGACCGUCAACAAUAAGCACCCUUUCCGCUGAUGACGAAGAAAGUCGUCGGCAAGGUUUUGCUGCCGAUGGUCAACUCGACACAUAUAGCUCCCUUGACUGGAGACACAUUCCCCUCAAAGUCCUUCAGCAUCAUGUCGGUCUUGGUCAUGUCUUAAUCUCCUUUCUCAAGCUUUCGAUACACUCCAUACGGCAUAAUAUUGAUGGCAUCCCCACCAUCGACUAAUAUCUUGGUCAUUGGCUGCCCAUCAACCCUUCCUUUGACAAACAGAGCUUUAAGAUGCUACCUUUCGUUGUGGGUAGGCUUUUCAAAGAUAGUCGUCAUUGGAUCCACAGCCAACUGAGCUAUCUGGUCAGAAAAGUCCACCUCCUCGUCAUCACUGGACGGCGCAAGGAAUUCCAUUGGCAACAUAAAUACCAUAAUAACAUCUGCCGAUGGCCCUUUUCCUUUAGGAUCUGGCUGCUGCUGACCUUCGAACAUAGCAGAAUUCUCUCCUUUGCUCAGCUCUUCUCGUCUUUCGCGCUGUAGCCUUCUUUUCUGUGUCCUAGUCAGCCCCUCUGGACACCAUGGAGGAAGUUGCGGCUGCCUUACCGAUUGGUGGCGAUUUUCCCUUGAUUCCACUCGAUAAGUAAUAGCAUCCCUGCAAAAUAUGAACUCAUCAGGAACUCACGCAUCCGCCAUCUCUUCAAGCUUGUUGACGGUCCUUAAUGCUCACAUUUAAUUGUCAACUAAUCGUAGAAAAGGAUCCAAAUGCAACCAACACCUAGACUUCCACGAGUUUUGGUGUUUGUCUAUUUGUGUAGGGGGUUAUCAGGAAAUAUGGAAGAAAGGCCCACAUGUCGGGAUUACAUAGAGAUAUUAACAUGCCGCGCAAUUUUCUACCAUCUAGAAGACUCCAGAAGCCACGGGAACGAACGGGGAGGCAAUCGGGCUCCGAGGCAGGGCGCCCGCCCUACUCUCCUGGGCGCCCGCUGUUGGGUAUUGUUAACAUCAUUACCAAAAGUAGACUAAGUUCUCUAAAUCUAGUAACGGUGCCAAAAUGCCAAACCUAUCCCUCACACCACUUAAGCCAAGUUGUCAUCCCCAGCAUGACAUGAGAGACGCGGUAUUGAAAUAUGCAAUUGCUCUUUUAAAUAAAUAAUGAAUGAGAUCUGCAAGCGCACAGAUUAAUACCGAUGUAGCAUUUUAACCGGGAAGUAUUCCAGGUAUCGUUAUUUACAUUUUUACCACUGGGAAGGGAUUAACAAUCAUCAAUAUUGAUUACAGAAUAGAAUAUGAGAUUGAGUAUCUAUCAUUGCAUGUAUAAUUGAGAACAUUUAUCUAACUCUUCAUACAAGGAUAAGUGUCACAUAAAAGAUAUAUGAAAUAAUGAAUAGUGACAAAGAUAAUUAAUCUGAUCAGCCACAUAUAAAUAUGAUAAGCACCUCAAUUAGAUACUCUAGAAAGUCAUUAGCAUGGUAUUAGAACGAACUACAAGAAUAUUCCCUAAGUUAUUAUCAACUAUAUAGUCUAGCAUAUCAUAGUUAGUGCAAGCAUACUUAGCAAUCAUUGCGAGACAAGACUACACCCAUGCACAGUGAUAUUAGCAAGGUAAAUGGGAAACAUAGCAAUCACUCCCCUGUAAUAAUAUUUGUCUGCCAGCCCAAUACACGAGAGGGGGACUAUAUAAGAAUCAAUGAAGUUGUCACUAUCACGAACUACCCCACGAUCUGGCAUAUUGGGUACAAUCGUAGAUAAAUACGGUAUAAGCACCACGCCUACACAAUAUCUAUCAUUUACCCAUGGAUCCGAUGGAUAAACGCUAUACGAUCCUAAGCAUGUAUAUAAAUCCAAUCUAACUAAGCCAAGUACAUAACUAUGAUAAACUAAGAACAAUAUAAUCUUGAAUAUAAGCAAGUAGAGCAAAGUCAUAAGCAAUAUAUUGAAGUACAACAAAGUCAUAUUCAUAAUAUUGAAGAACAAAGAUAAUUAGAAAGUAAUUAGAAGCACAAUUAGAGAAUUACCAAGAAUCCUGUUGACAGAUCCGGAAACCAAUCGAAGAUUGACUCCUUCUAGUUCUAAUCCUAUGUAGCUAUGCUAAUCUAGAUAUCUAAUUGAUGUGGUGGCUCUAAUCUUGAUCAGAGGCUUCUUCUCCCUUGAAGAACAAUGAAUUAGGGUUGAGAGGCUCUCUCCUCUAGGGGCCAGGGGGUCUAGUUUUAUAGUCCCUUCAAGUGAAUAUGGGCCGUUGGAUCAAACCAACAUACAUUGUAUGGUUCAGAUUCAUCCUUUAGGUCGGUGAAGAUCUCCCACGAAGCAGAGUCCUCAUUUGACUCAGGGAGUGGGCGGGCGCCCAGGGGAACAGGGCGGGCGCCCUGCCUCUGGCCCCGUUUCGCCUUCACUUCGGUCUCGUGGCUUCUGGAGUCUUCUAGAUGUAAGAUAAUUGUGCGGUACAUUAAUAUCUCUAUAUAAUCCCGACGUGUGGGCCUUUCUUCCAUAUUUCCUGAUAACCCCCUGCAGAAAUAGACAAACACCAAAACUCGUGGAAUUCUGUCAGAUAAAACCCUAAGUCUAGAUGUUGAUUUCAUUUGGAUCCUUUUCUUUGUUUAUUUGAUAAUUAAAUUUGAUACUUAAGGACCGUCAACAAACUCCCCCAAGCUUACCUCUUGCUCGUCCCUGAGCAAAGAUAGACUCAGCUAUGGAUCAUAAGUUGUCGCAAUAUCUUUAAAAAUUGACGGUACUCAUGCUUUUAAAUAAGAUCUCAUCUCUGAGUUAGAGUAAACUGUCAAGACUUAAAAAUUACUUACUUUAGCUUUACCAUGGUACUUAUAACCGUCACUUCUAUCUUGAGUGGUUAAAAGAUAGAACAGUCUAGUCAAGUGCCAUGUCUCUUAUUCUUGAUCAGCUAUAGCUCUGAAGUUUUUGCAGAUUUUCAAAUAAAACUCAGAGAUUCCUUGUAUGAUUCUCUCAUAUCUCUCUUUUGUGGUAUUUCUAGAUCCUUACCAAGGCAAUAAUGGUAUAUGCCUUCUCUCAAGACAUGUAGUAUUUGUUAUAGAAGGCAUAGUAACAUUGCCUUCUCUCUCACCCUAUUCUAAUAAGGCUUUAAUAUCUGGAGCUCAUAGGUGGGAGAUAAAAUAUACAUACUUACAAGACAUGUAUUGCAUAGUCAAACCAUGGAUCCAAAGAAACAAAUCAAUAAGUCAAAUCAAGAUGUGCAUGUCUGGCGAAUGAAUGGUGUAUGGUGAUGAUGGUGAUAACAAUGGUGAAAAUAAUGGUGAUGGAAGUCUUAUUCUUCUUUUGCUCUUUUGAGGGGAUACAUACCUUUCUUGCUUUUUGAAACUUUGUGAGGAGAAUGAGAUGCUCUAUAUUUUUUUCUUUUCUCUCAGGUGGGUAUCUUGUACCCCUAAUUCUACUGUCGGACACUUGUCCAUUUUUACCUCUUGUCUCACUUUUCUUUUCUUUCGAGGUUCCGAGCACUUGCUCCUUUUUAUUUCCUUGUUUUUUCAGAGCACUCAUCUCUUGAAAUAAUGUAGCAAGUGGUAGUAACAAGAUAACUUGAGCAUUUAUUUCACAAGGGAAAAACAAAAAUAUUUUUGGCUAUUCUCUCCCGGAUUAGGAGUAGAAUAUUUUUAGGUGAUUCUAGAGAUGGAAAUGAGUGGAUAUAUGUGGAUGGUACUUCCGGAGUAGAAGUAGCAUAUAUGAGUGAACAUGCAAGUGAAAACUUGAUUUAACCACAUGACAAGCUCCUAAGGGUCUACACAGCUUGAC